RNAcentral lists this long non-coding RNA (81273 nucleotides) under Sorghum bicolor (sorghum). Its description in RNAcentral is "long non-coding RNA (SBIC_LNC010356)". Lineage: Eukaryota; Viridiplantae; Streptophyta; Magnoliopsida; Poales; Poaceae. The record is from RNAcentral.
UGACAUGGGAGAAGACGAGUACGAUCCACCCAUCAUCCUUGGGAGACCGUUCCUCAGCACCGUUAAAGCAAUCAUCUACAUUGGAACCAGAGAAGUCCACAUGCACUUCCCCUCUGAGAAGGUACAUCGCUAUUUUACUGACCUUAACUAUAUAGUUGAAGACUCUAAGCAAGUCAGGACAAGAAGAAGACGAUGCAACCGCAACCAGAGGAGGCAAAUGAUCAAGGACGGAUGGGCAGACUAUGAAUGAGAAGUGGUAAGGUCCAAAGACAUACAACUUGAACAGAACUGUCCUGAGGAGACCGUAGCACCGAGUCAGGUGUGGAGAGAAAAGAUAGUUAUACAUGAAGACCAGGCGCCGCCGGAACCACCGACUACACCAUCCAACGAAUCCCAGAACGACUGAGAAAAUGGAGAAUCCCGUUCAGAGGACUUAAAAACACCGAACGCCUUGCCAAGAGGUAAACUUGGUAGUUAUCCUUUUCCUUUCAAUUAUUUAAAAUAUUUUGCUUAGUUAAUCAAGUUCAUAUCAUCUUGAAAAGAAAAUAAAAAUGUUGAAGAUAGUAAGCCCCAUGUGAGUAUGCUCAUGGCAUAAAACCCAUAAGUACAUUGACUGUGGUGGCGUAAAAAUAAAAUAAAUAUAUUCCUGUCCUAUAAAAAAUGAAAAUAUAAAAAUAAAUUUAUGAUCCUACCAAAGAGAGUGAUAUUUAUUAGAGGAAGCUCAACAUGAUAACGGCUAAGAGAUUUUAUGCUAACACUUAACCAGUUCCACAAAGUUUUGUUGUCUAUUUGAGCUCCACAGAAUUCAAGGAUCAAAGAAGACUAGCAGACGGAGGACAUCCUAAUUACUGUCAGGGUGCUGCCGACAUUCAAAUACACCUCCGCCACCUGCUAGCUACAUCAGAAGAAAUUUCGUCAAAAUCCAGCUUGGGGGAGAGCACCCCCAUUUAUCCAGCUAAGUGUUCUACUCACGUUUAUACUUUACUCAAAUAAUAAAAAGAUGCAUGAUCAUAAAAACCCAAAUAAAGAUUUUGUGCUUAUAUAUAUAUAUUUGCUUAGUUUGCUAAAUAAAUAAAUAAAUAAAGUUUGCUAUGAACCCUCAUGAUAAGCUCUCACAUGGAAAUGAUGAAUAGUUGCUCUACAAUGACUAGUUCUCAAAAUUGAAAUCUCUCUCAAGUUUAGACAUAACUGUUAUAAUUUAAACCUGAACUUGUGGGAAGAGAACUUGAUCUGAAGUCUAAGUCGUUAACGGAUACGAUAUGGGAAGGUUGAGCUGCUGUUUAUCUGUUCCUAGAGAUGCUAGAAUUCUGGAGAAUUUUAUCUUUGAAAAUCUUUAAAAUGUUGCAUGACUACCACAGCCAUAUAUACAUGCUUGCUAGACUUUGAGCCACACAUUUACUUUUUACUGCUUAUGAGCAUUGAGUGUGGUCAAGCUGUGUAGACCCUUAGGAGCUUGUCAUGUGGUUAAAUCAAGAUUCACUUGCACGUUCACUCAUACAUGCUGCUUCUACUCUGGAAGUACGCAUCCAUAUAUAUCCACCCAUUUCCAUCUCCAGAACCACCCAAAAAUAUUCUACUCCUAAUCCGGGAGAGAAUAGCCAAAAACAUUUUUGUUUUCCCCUGUGAAAUAAAUGCUCAAGUUAUCUUGGUUACUACCACUUGCUACAUUAUUUCAAGAGAUGAGUGCUCUAAAAAAAAGAGAGAAAAAAAAGAUACGAGGAAAUAAAAGGGGCAAGUGCCUAGAACCUCGAAAGAAAAGAAAAAGUGAGAUGAGAGGUAAAAAUGGACAAGUGUCCGACAGUAGAACUAGGGGUACAAGAUACCCACCUGAGAGAAAAGAAAAAUAAAAUAUAGAGCAUCUCAUUCUCCUCAAAAGCUUUCAAAAGAGCAAGAAAGGUAUGUAUCCCCUCAAAAGAUCACAAGUAGAAUUAGACUUUCACCAUUGUUAUCACCAUCAUCACCAUACACCAUUCAUUCGCCACACAUGCACAUCUUGAUUUGACUUAUUGACUUGUUCUUCUGGAUCCAUGGUUUGACUAUGCAAUAAAUGUCUUGUAAGUAUGUAUUAGCUGUCUCCCAGCUAUGAGCUCCAGAUAUCAAAACCAUAUUAGAGUAGGGUGAGAGAGAAGGCAAUGCCACUAUGCCUCAUAUCAAAAAUACCACAUACUUUGAGAGAAGGCAUACACCAUUAGUGCCUUGGUAAGGAUCCAGAAAUACCACAAAAGAGAGACUAGAGAGAGUCAUACAAGGAAUCUCUGAGUUUUAUUUGAAAAUCUGCAAAAAACUCCAGAGCUAUAGUUAAUCAAAGAACAAGAGACAUGGCGCUUGACUAGACCGUUCUAUCUUUUAACUGCUCAAGACACAAGUGACGGUUGCAAGCCCCAUGGUGGAAGGUAAAAUGAGUAAUUUUAAAUCUUAAAAGUAUACCCUAACCUAGAGAAGAGAUCUUGCUUGAACGCAUGUGUACCUUUAAGGCAUGAAACCACUGCAGAAACUCUUGAGUUCAUCUUUGCUCAGGGACGAGCAAAGGUUAAGCUUGGGGGAGCUUGUUGACGGUCCUUAAUGGUCACAUUUAACCGUCAACUAAUCAUGGAUAAGGAUCCAAAUGCAACUAACACCCAGACUUAGGGUUUUAUCUAACAGAAUUCCACGAGUUUUGGUGUUUGUCUAUUUCAGUAGGGGGUUAUCAGGAAAUACGGAAGAAAGGCCCACACGUCGGGUUUACAUAGAGAUAUUAACGUGCCGUGCAAUUUUCUAUCAUCUAGAAGACUCCAGAAGCCAUGGGAACGAAGCGGAGGACGAGAGGGCUCAGGGACAGGGCGCCCGCCCUAGUCCUUAGGGCGCCCACCCACUUCCAGAGUCCAAUCAGGACACGUUUCACGGAUCUUGCUCCACCGACCUAAAGGAUCAAGGAAAAUCAUGCGAUUAAUGUCGGUUUGAUCCGACGGCCUAGAUUCAUCUGAAAAGACUAUAUAAGCAAGGCUCCCUGGCCCCUGGAGAUCAUACCUCUUCUACAGAAUCAAAGUUAGGGUUUCAAUUCUUCAUCCAAGUAGAGAGGAUCCCUCUAGUUCAUCUAUUUCUAGUUCUAGUUCCUCUAGUUCUAGUUCAUCUAGUUUUAGUUCCUCUAGUUCUAGUUCUAGUUCGUUCUAGUUAUAAUCUAGAAAAUAGGGAGAGAGAAGAGGAGAGCGGAGGAGGAGCCGGAUGUGUCGGAUCUUCCUCAACAUUAUACUUUUGCUACAACUGGUUCGUUCUUCAUCGUUCUCCAAGUUCUUCAAUUUAUAAUUCCUGAGUUCUUUAAUUACUUUUAUUUACAUUCAAGUUAUUUAUUGGAUUCCCGCUUGGAUCAAGUGCUCUAGUCUUUAUAACGCUAGAGUAGUAAUUAAUAGAUUAGACGCGGUGUUUAGUCUUGCAAUUACCUCGAAUUGCACCCAAUCCUGCGGAUUGUUGUGAUAGCCCUAGGGUAGUGACAGCCCUAACGGUCUACGUAUUCCACCUCGUUCGGAUCGGUGUUUGUAGGACCGUAGUCAGAGCUUCCUAGCCCCCUUCUCAUCUCUUUCUGUGGUUAGUGUUCUGAUGUCCCGAAAUAAAUAAUCUUUGAAGUAAUUCUUGAUUCUUAGAUCAACUAGAGAACUCUCAGGAAACCUCCUCUCUUCCCACCAAAAAUAAUUAUAUAGUUAUCCUUGGGCGAUCUUGAAUCUUAAUUAGUACACUCACGUUCCCUGUGGAAAAUCGAUACUCUGGAAUACUCCCGGGUGAAAGCUACAUCGGUAUCCGUGCGCUUGCGGAUUUUUCUGUUUGCGUUUAAAAUACCCUACAAUGGUACAAUAUCACCUUGUGGAAGCUUUUCUUUCUCAAUGGUUGUGCAUCUUGUUCGUGGCACUCUUCGUCUUGUUCCAUGGAUUAUCUCUCGAGCUAUGUCUUUCUUGUGCAAAUUGUUAAACUUCAUGUGUCUCCUUCUUUAUCUCCAUUCUUUUUGUUAUUCUUCACUCUUUUACUUCAAGCCUGAAUCACAAAGAUAACGGGAUUGCUUUCCCCCAAGCUGAAUGUUGACAUAGUCUUUAAUCUUGAAUCCGCACAACACAGAUGUUCUUCAAUAUUCUUGAGCUUCAAAAUGUCAGUGAUGAUUGCAGCGCUUCCAAGUUGAUGAAGAUAUCUUGAUCUUUGGGGAUUCUCUCUUUAAAUCAUGUUAAACUCAAAUAGACAACAAAACUUGUGGCACCGAUUAAACAUUAGUAGUUGGCCACUUAAGCCUUUGUUGUCCAUGCUUUUUAGAUUUUUCUUAAUUCUUUUUCUAAGCAGAGUUUCAACAAGAUCUCUUUCUUAAUAUAUAUAUAUAUAUAUAUAUUUGGGUUUUAAUCUUUUUAUGAAGCAAAAGGAAAUGGAACAGGAUGAAUGCAUGUUUAUUUACUUUUAUUUUUUUAUUUUUUUUAUUCCACCACGGUGAAUAUCCGCGUGGGCUUUUACACACCACAUAAUUUAUUCACAUGGGGUUUUAGUAUUUAAGAUGCAAUGAGUUAUAUAAAAUAUUUUUAUUAUAUUUUCUAAUGCAAUAAUAAAGCAGAAAAAUAAAUAUGUUAUGGAGAAAUGAUGAUGAAAAAUAAAUAUGCUAAAAAAAUGCAGAAAAGAUAAAUACAAUAAACCUACUAAAGCUAGUGAUACAUUAAAUUAGCAGACUUCAAGAUCAUUAUCAAAAUCUUCACACCAAUUGCUUCCCCGGCAACGGCGCCAAAAAUGCUUGUUGACAUUCGUUAAGUGCAAUAAGAAUAAGAAAAAUUCCGCAAGCGCAGAGAAUAUCAUCGUAGCAUUUUACCGGGAGUAUUCCAGGUAUCGUUAUUUAUAUUUUACCACUGGGAAGCUAAGGUCAAAGAAUCUGAUAACUUACUAUCAUGCAUCUACUAAUUUAAUAAACCAACUAGACUAAAGUAGGGGUAAAUGAUAUAUGAUAGGUAAUAAUAUAAAGGUGAGAAUUCUAUGAUAAAUGCGUAGAUAGCCAUAGUGGGAGGACAACGGGAGAGACCUAGGUUCCUGUAUACUUCUCUAUUACUUCAGUUCUAUGAUAACAAAGAAUGAAUAGAUAUAGCAAUCACAUAUUAGCACUUUGGGUCAUCAAAAUACCAACCACAUUAAGAGAACUGGAAGGGGGCUGGGAAGCUCUGACUACGGUCAUACAAACACCUAUCCAAACGAGGUGGAAUACGUCGACCGUUAGGGCUGUCACUACCCUAGGGCUACCACAACAAUCCGCAGGACUGGAUGCAACCUCAGGUAACCUCUAGUAUAGACACCACGUCUACACUAACGAUUACUACUCUAAUUACCAUGAAUAACUAGAGCACUCGAUGCGAACGGAGAUCCUAUGCCAAAAUAUAACAACUACACUACUCGAUAAUGAUAAAGGCAUAAAAGUAAAUAGAGAAGAUAAAUAUAUUAAAGCAUAAGUCUUAUAAUAAAUAUAAAGACAUACAAAAACUCUAAAGACUUCUCCAGAACCGAAGCGCAGCUCCGCUACCUAACUCCCGAUUAGGACUAAUCUACUACAUUGGAAUGUCUAGCCCUAAUUCUCUAUAGAGGAAAGGUUAUCCUUCGAGGGCACCUCUCAACUCUUAAUGAUAUGUUCUCCUCUAGGGGCCAGCGGCCUUGCUUAUAUAGCCUCCUCCUCUGUGCCUUUUUGAUUCAGCAGGCGAUGUGGUACUAAACUUUCCACCAUAUCUCAUUAAAAUGCACAUAGGCCUUAAUGGACCAAAAUCUGAUUUGGGCCCAUUUAAUCGUGCAGCUCUUUUAUGUGGAGUCCUUUUAUUAAUAUCUCUUGAUUUUGAUCUCCAAAUAUAGCAAAUAAUAUAUGCAUUUCGAUCAGCUCGACGAGAUCUUUGUAAUGGUGUACUCCAUUCUAUGAUUGGUGCUUGUACUAGGGCGGGCGCCCUAGGAUCAAGGGCAGGCGCCCCAGGAUCAAGGGCGGGCGCCCUGGCCCUGGGCUCGUCUCGGCUCCGCUUCGGUCGAGUUGCUUCUAGAGUCUUCCUGAUUAUGGAAAAUUACCGCACACAUUAAUUCUCUAUGAAAACCCAACGUGUGGGCCUUUCCUUCGUAUUUCCUAAUAACCCCCUGCAGAAAUAGACAAACACCAAAACUCGUGGAAAUCUAUUAGAUGAAACCCUAAGUCUAGGUGUCGGUUGCAUUUGGAUCCUUUUUCAUGAUUAGUUGAUGGUUAAAUGUUAACAUUAAGGACCGUCAAUAGGGUAGUAGCCAUGUCAAGCAAAAAGACUGAUUCAAGACAAUCAAAGAAGUUGUUUUAAGAGGUUAUAUUUCUGAGGUUUGGAACACCUUGGGUGGUUAUAAGUGAUGGAGGAACACAUUUCACUGAUAAGAAGUUUCACUCAUACCUACAAGCUCAUGGAAUACAGCACAAUGUCGCUACUCCAUAUCAACCUCAGACAAGUGCCCUGGCAAAAACAUCAAAUAAACAAAUCAAAAACAUUCUCCAGAAAACAGUAAAUGAGAUGGGAACUUUAUGGAAGGAUUGGUUACCAGAUGCACUAUGGGCAUACCGGACAGCUUAUAAAACACCUUUGGGUAUGUCACCAUAUCAACUAGUAUAUGGUAAGACCUGCCACUUACCGGUUGAACUAGAACAUAAAGCUCACUGGGCUAUCAAAAGAUGGAAUAUGGAUUUAGAAGCUGCAGAAGAGAAAAGAAAAAUGCAACUAUCAGAACUAGAAGAGUGGAGAGAAAAGGCAUAUGACAAUUCGAAGAUGUACAAAGAACGAACAAAGAGAUGGUAGGACCAUAGGAUCAAGAAAAAGGAAUUUGCACCAGGAGAUAAGGUAUUACUUUUUAAUUCCAGGUUCAGAUUAUUCGGGCUUGGAAAAUUGAGGAGCAAAUAGGAAGGACUCUUCACAGUCAUGAAUUCAUCACCACAUGUAGCGGUAACUCUACAAUCAAGUGAAGGUACGUUAUUCAAUGUAAAUGGACACUGACUUAACUUUAUUUAGAACCAUUUGAUUUGGGAGUAGUUGAUGAAAUAGAAUUCAUCCAAUUACCAAUAUAUUAAGCUCUAUUUAUUCUGGUACAAAAUUUUAUCUAAAAACAUAUCUAACAGAAAAUAGGAGGAGUCUAAAGGCACCACGUAGAAGGGCACCUGAGGUGGGCUCCUGGUGGGGUCGGCCAGCGCCUAUGUGGGACCGGUCGGUGCCCCCUACCGCCUCUUGUCUUGACUUUCGUUCCCUAUCCUUCUACACCGUUCCUAUGAACAUUUGCGCAUUAUCCAAUUGUAUUCGGAUAUUCUUUUGUACGGAUCCUGUAGAGCCUAGGAUUUGUCCUCAUCCUGUCUCCUGAGAACCCAUAUAAAUACGUACCUAGACCCCCUCAAUAGUAUCCCAUAAUCCGCCACCUCUUUCCUCAGAGAAGCUCUUCAAUCUAGAUCUACUAGCAAUGGCGGACAAGACAACCGUCUCCUAUGGCACGGACUUCAACAACAUCCCCAGCGAUGACACGAAGGCCAACAUCCUCGCGUAGCCGAAGCCUCUCACCGUUGUGCCACCGAAGCCUCUCGCCGUUGUGCCACCGAAGCCUCUCGCCAUUGUGCCACCGAAGCAAGUCGCUAUGGUGCCCCAGCGUUAUGAGCAAGCCUACUACGUACAAGAUCCAUCUGCUCUUCCUUCACCUCCCACAAGGCUAUUGCUUGAAGGAGGUGCUAAGGGGAAGCAAAUUGCUAUCCUGAAGGGUACUGCGCUUCUUCCACCUAGAGACAAUGAACGGCUCUUGUCGGUCCAAACGAUAUGAAAGGGAAGCUGAUAUGUGCCAAGUACACCGCUGCUCGUCCUAUUAUCCAAGGAGUGCACGCAAACCCUAAUGAGGUAUGCUACACUGAGCAUAUCACACCUAAGCCCAAGCCUAAGAGGAAGAGAGCAACAUCAGCAUUAGCACUUGAAAAAGUUCCCAAGCAGCCAACUCCAACCCUGCGCACCCUCAACGAGAAGCUUGAAGGCCUCUUCAAUAUUGUCAAGGGCAUGGAAGCAUCCAACAACCUGAGGGACAAGCUCAUAGAAGGCAUGGAUACUCAGUUAGGGAUCAGUUUCAAGUUAAUCCGUAGCCUCAAGCGUGAUAAAGACAAGCUUGAAGCAGAGGUUGCAGCCCUCCAAGAAGUAAUUUAGGGUCUCAACAAUUAAGGGCAGCCUUAGUUGCCUAGUUAUCUAUUAAUAAGGCACAAUUCCGCUAGGUUUGGCUAGUUAAUUAGGUCAGUUGAGUCAUAAAUUUUUCGUUAGCUCAGUCGUUAAAGCGUCUGUUAAAUUAUAUAUUAUCGCCGCCAUGAAUAAAGUGCCUUAUCUUUAUUUACUCUACUCUCUAUAUUUCUUUUGGUAUGUGUUUGUCUCUACAUAUUGCGCAGAAAAGUAUACAGGAAAACAAGUGUGUGGGAGGCACAUUGUAGUCACGAAACAAAAAUUCGAUCAGAAAAAUAGUGUAAUCCAGAACAUAAUCGAACCAAGACCGCACACAGCAAAACGGGCUCCGCAUUGCCCAAUAGUGGCCGGCCGGCACCUAGGAGGGGCCGGCCGGUGCCCUGCUCACUCGUCUUCGCUCUCGCUUUAGUCACGGUCAGGUUUGAGUUAAUUACAAUAUAACUGCAUACAUCUUACUUUAAAUUAUCAUCCGAAUCAUAAAUCUUGAUAUUAAAUAUUUUUAACAGAUGAUAAACACCAUUUAAUAUAUGACUUGAAAAUAAAUUGUAUAACACCUGCCAAUUUAGUUAAAUUCUUGUUGUAUGUUUUGCUCUUUUUUACAAAUUUUAUAAAAUGAAGUGCUGUGGGGAUUUCCCCCACAGUUUUUGCCUUAAAAAAAUUCAUGAUAAUUGUGAAAUUUAUAGUACUUCAUGAUUGCUUAAGUUAUUGUGGAAAGAGAGAUAACAAAAUAACGAAUGCUCAAUUCCUGAUAAUUUGUCUUUGGAGAUUUUAUUUUAAAAGGAUAAAAACAAUUAGCUUCACCUCUCUUGUAUUGGAGUCAAAUAAUAAUUGUAUCAUUCUAUUAUUAUGACUUUGGUUGAGAGAUUUAUCAUAUUCCUAGUAUCAUAAAAAUGAAAUAAAAACAUAAUACACUCUAUUAAAGCACUAUUAAGAAGGAGGCAUGAGCUAUUCGUAAAGAAAUCCGAGGAAAUAAAAAGGGACAAGUGUCUGAAACCUCAAAAAGAUAGAUCAUGAGGAAAUAAAAAGGGACAAGUGUUCGGAACCUCGAUUCAAUAAGAAAAGAGAUGAGCAUGUGCUCAUAAGUAGAAUUAUAGAGCUCAUGGUCCCUCCUACAUAAUAUGCUAAGGAGUGGUUGAUUCUUCUGAUCUAGGAAUAUGAUAUUUCCCUCCCUGGUUAUGAACAUCAAAUUUAUAUCACAACUAUUGAUGCCACUACAAAUAAGAAAGGUUGAAGUUAUGUUUUAUUUGCAAACACCACUUACUCUCCAGUAGACAAAAUUCAAGGAAGAUAGUAAUCUAUUUUAAACUAUCCUACUUUGCAAUCACUAUAGAAUUCAUGAUAAGCACUUUAAAUUUCCACAAUGCAUGGUAGCUUGACUGGUUUUAUAUAAUAUAAUUUCCAAGUUAUGCAUUAAAUGUUUAUUGUUUAUGAUAGAACCAACCUUUUCCUCAGGACGAGUAAAAGCCUAAGUGUUGGGGUAAUUGUUGACACCUGUUAUCUCACAGAAUUUGUUAGCAUUUAUUUCUCCACCGGGUAUGAAUGUCUACUAGUAUAUGGUUAUCACUGACAAUUACAAUGAGUUUUGCAUAUUAUGUGUUUUUUAGGGUUUAUUCCAGAAAGAGCGAAAAGGAGGGAUUCAAGUGCAAAAUAAACACGAAACUUAUUCGCGAUGCAUCAACACCGCCAACGGGAUGUGGGAAGACUCCAGAAGACACCCGAAGGCCAGGAGGCUAGAGGCCGCCAGAUACGGCCGGCCGGUGCCCCCUAUUAGGGCUUUGGCCCCCUUCCUGAACCUUCCUCCUCCACCUCCGAGGAGCCAUCUUGGCCGCUUGUUAAGUCGGUUUGAUCCAACGACGCGUAUCCAUCCCACCGAGCUAUAAAUAAAAGGCUAGACCACCCUAGCGGAGGCUCAAUCAAGAGAUGAAGAGUGAGAGCAUUAGAUAGAGAUCCACUAUAUCUAGGCUAGCAAUCAAGAUAUAGAUUAGAGAGAUAGAGUAGAGGAGUAGAGAUUCGGAGGUGUCCUGACCUAUCGGAGCUUCCUCAGAAGUUGUAUUCGUCUGCAUUCGGCUCCCUCGCCCGAAGCUGCAUUCGGAGCUACUUUUGUAUUUACCAUUCUGAUUCAAGUAAGCAACAUGUUUUUAUUGGUUCUUUGGUUUGCAACUCAUAUUAUAUUGAGUACUUUGAUUUGGGUAGCUCCUAGGUCGGAGUAGUGAUUCGUAGCAUAGACGUGGUGUUUGGGCUAUGGUUGCUUGUAGAUGUCCUCUGAUCAGCCAAAUAGUGGUAGCUCACGUAGGUGACUUUAUAGCUGCGUUGAAUCCUCUAUAGUCCACUUCCAAUUAAUAUGACCGAUAGGCUUCUAGGUGUCUGAUACGAGAUUACUCUGUUUCUUCUCUUAUUUGGGUUACUUGCCCGAUAAGACGAUAUUAUACAAAGUUUACCGAUUAUUAGAACCAGAGUACAUUAGCUAUUUCCUCAUUCUCAAUAGUUUUCUAGACUGAUUGUACCCCCUUAGAUUAAGAAGUUAUAGACUAAGUCAUAAAUCACCUACUGUUCUUUUGGGUUCGAUAUUAAAACUGGGUCGAUCUUGAUGAAGUGCUGAUCAGUAUAUAUUUGUGCGCUUGUGGAUAAUCUGAUUAUAAUAAUUAUUAGGGUGCAGUUAAUUUAUACUAACAAUUGCCUAUUUAGAAAGACAUCGUUUCCUAACCAAUGACACUUAAAUUGCUAAAAAAUGCGAACAUGCUAAAAUGGGGAUGCUAAGAACAUGGGAUUCAGGAAAAGGCAAGGCCAUCACAGAUUCAUGAAAACCUAAGCUGAACUCUCGGGAAAAGGACAAAGUGUAGGAUGAAUAAAAAAUUUGUAUUUUGUAUUUUUUUUUGUUGUAAACUCUGAACUUGGUAAAUAGGAAAGGAAAUGCACAUUAACAUUUGAGUCUCAACAUUUAAGAUGUACGACGGGUCUGCCAACACAUAUUUUAACACAAACACAUUCAAAUGUAUUUCAAUACCACUAUUUCUUAAUUUAAGUUGUUUCAUUUUGAGCUUGUCUGGGCUUCUUUGUGCAUUGGGAUCAUAUGUUUUAGAAACACUGCACUUGUUCUUCCUCUUUGCAUGACCAUUCAUCCCGUUUUUGUGUGCCUACUCCCUGCACCCUUUGGCUUUUGACUUUUGGGGGUUUGCUACACUUGAUGAACUUGGACCAGCAACUACACCUAUAGGGUGAAAUGCAAUAUAAGCAACUAAUAAGUCUAGUAUAGAUGUACAAGGAUGAAGUAAAGCAGAACAUAAUGUCUAGUUUUCAAUCCUACAGUUCACGGUGAAGGUCCAGUUAGACUAGAGGCACUUGGACUAUCUUGUGCACCUUAUAUAGCACCACCUUCUAUAGCACCAGUGUUCUGCCGAUUUGCCAUCUUCCUUUUCUUAAUUUCUUCAAAUUCAGAUCACAUCUCCUUAUUGUGCUUCUCCAAAAUAGCAUAGUUUUCAUCACCUAUACAACCCUCAUCUGCUAGUGCUGCAAAAGCGGUGGAUGCAUUGGUCAAUCUCAAAGUUUUCUUGCAGGUCAAUGGCAUCCCACGGGCUACAAGUUCCAUCAAUGCAUUCACAUUUUGGACCUGAUCUAUUUCAAUGCAAUUGCUUGCUACGUCCACCUUUUAAAGAUGUACCUUUCUGGUAUCAAUUUCACACCCAUCCUGACCAUAACCCUCAUAAUGUUGCAGCAAAAUGAUUCUAUCCCUAUCAAACUUGCUGCAUAUUGACGGUCCUUAAGUAUCAAAUUUAAUUAACAAAUAAACAAAGAAAAGGAUCCAAAUGCAACCGACAUCCAGACUUAGGGUUUUAUCUGACAAAAUUCCAUGAGUUUUGGUGUUUGUCUAUUUCUGCAGGGGGUUAUCAGGAAAUACGGAAGAAAGGCCCACACGUCGGGUUUACAUAGAGAUAUUAACGUGCCACGCAAUUAUCUUACAUCUAAAAGAGUCCAGAAGCCACGGGAACGAAUGGGAGACCGGACGGGCUCGGGGGCAGGGUGCCCGCCCUCCCCCCUAGGGCACCCACCCUGGCCUUUCCACCAAUCACGGCCAAUCUCGCGGAUCAUGAUCCACCGACCUAAAGGAUCAAGGAUAAUCGUUCAAUCAAUGUCGGUUUGAUCCGACGGCCUAUUCACUUGGAAGGACUAUAUUACAAGACCCCCUGGCCCCUCGAGGAGAGCACCUCUCAACCCUAAUUCAUUAUUCAUCAGGGAGAAGAAGCCUCUGAUCAAGCCCUAGAGCCACCACAUCAAUUAGAUAUAUAGAUUAGCAUAGCUACAUAGGAUUAGAACUAGAAUGAGUUAAUCUUCGAUUGGUUUCCGGAUCUAUCAAGAGGAUUCUUGGUAAUUCUCUAUUGUUCUUCAAUUGUUCAUCUUUGUUCUUCAAUAUUAUGAAUAUGACUUUGUUCUACUUCAAUAUAUUGAUUAUGACUUUGCUCUACUUGUUUAUAUUCGCAAUUAUAUUAUUCUUAGCUUAUCAUAGUUAUAUACUUGGCUUAGUUAGAUUGGAAUUAUAUACAUGUUUAGAAUCGUAUAGCGUUUAUCCAUCGGAUCCAUGGGUAAAUGAUAGAUAUUGUGUAGGCGUGGUGCUUAUACCAUAUUUAUCUGCGAUUGUACCCUAUAUGCCAGAUCGCGGGGUAGUUCGUGGUAGUGACAGCUCCAUUGAUUCUUAUAUAGUCUCCCUCUCGUGUAUUGGGCUAGUAGAGCAACAUUAUUACAGGGGAGUGAUUGCGAUGUUUCUCAUAUUCCUUGAUAAUAUCACUAUGCAUGGGCGUAGUCCUGUCUCACAAUGAUUGCUAAGUAUAAUUGCACUAACUAUGAUAUGCUAGGUUGUAUAGUUAAGAAUAACUUAGGAAAUAUUCUUGUAGUUCAUCCUAAUUCCAUGCUAAUGACUUGCUAGAUUAUCUAAUUGAGGUGCUUAUCAUAUUUAUAUGUGGCUAAGUUAUGCUGAUCAGAUUAAUUAUCUUUGUCACCAUUCAUUACUUUAUAUAUCCUUUUUGUGACACUUAUCCCUGUAUGAAAGAGAUAGAUAAAUGCUCUCAAUUAUACAUGCAAUGAUUGAUACUCAAUCUUAUAUUCUAUUCUAUAAUCAACAUUGAUGAUUACUAAUCCCUUCCCAGUGGUAAAAAAAUAAAUAACGAUACCUGGAAUACUUCCCGGUUAAAAUGCUACAUCGGUAUUAAUCUGUGCGCUUGCAGAUCCCAUUUAUUAUUUAUUUAGUAGAGCAAUUGCAUAUUUCAAUACCGUGUCUUUCAUGUCAUGCUGGGGAUGACAACUUGGCUUAAGUGGCAUGGGAGAUAGGUUUGGCAUUUUUGGCGCCGUUAUCAGAAUUAGAAAACUAAGUCUAGUUUUGGUAGUGACGUUAAGAAUGCCCAACAAGCAUUUUUGGCGCCGUUGCCGAGGAAGGUUGAUUACUAAUCAGGAAUGAAUAUAGAAUUUUGAGUCAUCAUUCACAUCACUAAUAUGAUUGAGCUUAUCAAUUCUCUCAGACAGUUUUACCCUGAUAUUUCUCUAUUUUAUCUUAUGCAGGGUAAUGUAUGAAUAGAAGACAUCUUCUAGAAAAUUUUGUUGACAAUCCCGAAGCGUUAUUAGAAAAACAAGAGCCAAGCUCAAGAAGAGAUCAUCAACACUUCAGCAAGAAGUUUCAUCCAAUCAAGAAGAUCACCGAAGUUUCACCCAGAACUUGUCUUCAGAAUUCGAAGUCAUGGCGAACAAAUUGAUCCGCGAGUUCUCAGCUCCCACUACGGACAACAUCCAUACUGGACCUGCUGCAGAGAUCGAUGGCAACUUUGAGCUCAAGCCUGUACUUAUCAACAUGGUGCAAUCCAACCAGUUCUGUGGGAAGGCACACGAAGAUGCUAGUGCUCAUCUCCAACACUUCCUGGAGAUUUGCAAUGUUGGGUAUUCUUAACAUCAUUACCAAAAGUAGACUAAGUUCUCUAAAUCUAGUAACGGUGCCAAAAAUGCCAAACCUAUCCCUCAUACCACUUAAGCCAAGUUGUCAUCCCCAGCAUGAUAUAAGAGACGCGGUAUUGAAAUAUGCAAUUGCUCUUCUAAAUAAAUAAUGAAUGGGAUCUGCAAGCGCACAGAUUAAUACCGAUGCAGCAUUUUAACCGGGAAGUAUUCCAGGUAUAGUUAUUUAUAUUUUUACCACUGGGAAGGGAUUAGCAAUCAUCACUAUUGAUUACAGAAUAGAAUAUGAGAUUGAGCAUCUAUCAUUGCAUGUAUAAUUGAGAACAUUAUAUCUAACUCUUCAUACAGGGAUAAGUGUCACAUAAAAGAUAUAUGAAAUAAUAAUAGUGACAAGGAUAACUAAUCUGAUCUAGCCACAUAAUAAAUAUGAUAAGCACCUCAAUUAGAUACUCUAGAAAGUCAUUAGCAUGGUAUUAGAACGAACUACAAGAAUAUUCCCUAAGUUAUUCUCAACUAUAUAGUCUAGCAUUAUCAUAGUUAGUGCAAGCAUACAUAGCAAUCAUUGUGAGACAAGACUACGCCCAUGCAUAGUGAUAUUAGCAAGGAAUAUGAGAAACAUAGCAAUCACUCCCCUGUAAUAAUGUUGCUCUGCCAGCCCAAUACACGAGAGGGGGACUAUAUAAGAAUCAAUGAAGCUGUCACUAUCACGAACCACCCCACGAUCUGGCAUAUUGGGUACAAUCGCAGAUAAAUACGGUAUAAGCACCACGCCUACACAAUAUCUAUCAUUUAUCCAUGGAUCCGAUGGAUAAACGCUAUAUGAUCCUAAGCAUGUAUAUAGAUCGAAUCUAACUAAGCCAAGUACAUAACUAUGAUAAACUAAGAACAAUAUAAUCUUGAAUAUAAGCAAGUAGAGCAAAGUCAUAAGCAAUAUAUUGAAAUAGAACAAAGUCAUAUUCAUAAUAUUGAAGAACAAAGAUAAUUAGAAAGCAAUUAGAAGCACAAUUAGAGAAUUACCAAGAAUCCUCCUGACAGAUCCGGAAACCAAUCGAAGAUUGACUCCUUCUAGUUCUAAUCCUAUGUAGCUAUGCUAAUCUAGAUAUCUAAUUGAUGUGGUGGCUCUAAUCUUGAUCAGAGGCUUCUUCUCCCUUGAUGGAACAAUGAAUUUGGGUUGAGAGGCUCUCUCCUCCAGGGGCCAGGGGGUCUGAUUUUAUAGUCCCUCCAAGUGAAUACGGGCUGUUGGAUCAAACCGACAUAGAUUGUAUGGUUUAGAUUCAUCCAUUAGGUCAGUGGAGAUCUCCCGCGAAGCAGAGUCCUGAUUGGACUCCUGGAGAGGGCGGGCGCCCUGCCUCUGGCCCCGUUUCGCCUCCGCUUCGGUCUCGUGGCUUCUGGAGUCUUCUAGAUGUAAGAUAAUUGCGCAGCACGUUAAUAUCUCUAUGUAAUCCCGACGUGUGGGCCUUUCUUCCGUAUUUCCUGAUAACCCCAUGCAGAAAUAGACAAACACCAAAACUCGUGGAAUUCUAUCAUAUAAAACCCUAAGUCUAGAUGUUGAUUUCAUUUGGAUCCUUUUCUUUAUUUAUUUGAUAAUUAAAUUUGAUACUUAAGGACCGUCAACAAACUCCCCCAAGCUUACCUCUUGCUCGUCCCUGAGCAAGGAUAGACUCAGCUAUGGAUCAUAAGUUAUUGCAAUAUCUUUAAAAAUUGAUGGUACACAUGCUUUUAAAUAAGAUCUCAUCUCUAAGUUAGAGUAAACUGUCAAGACUUAAAACUUACUUACUUUACCUUCACCAUGGGACUUGUAACCGUCACUUCUAUCUUGAGUGGUUAAAAGAUAGAACAGUCUAGCCAAAUGCCAUGUCUCUUAUUCUUGAUCAGCUAUAGCUCUGGGGUUUUUGCAGUUUUUCAAAUAAAACUCAGAGAUUCCUUGUAUGACUCUCUCAGAUCUCUCUUUUGUGGUAUUUCUGGAUCCUUACCAAGGCAGUGAUGGUAUAUGCCUUCUCUCAAGAUAUGUAGUAUUUGUGGUAUAAAGCAUAGUGACAUUGCCUUCUCUCUCACCCUACACUAAUAAGGCUUUAAUAUCUGGAGCUCAUAGGUGGGAGAUAAAUUAUACAUACUUACAAGACAUUUAUUGCAUAGUCAAACCAUGGAUCCAAAGAAACAAAUCAAUAAGCCAAAUCAAGAUGUGCAUGUGUGGCGAAUGAAUGGUGUAUAGUGGUGAUGGUGAUAACAAUGGUGGAAACAAUGGUGGUGGUCUAAUUCUACUUUGCUCUUUGAGGGGAUACAUACCUUCCUUGCUUUUUGAAACUUUAUGAGGAGAAUGAGAUGCUCUUCUUUUUCUUUUCUCUCAGGUGGGUAUCUUGUACCCCUAAUUCUACUGUCGGACACUUGUCCAUUUUUACCCCUCGUCUCACUUUUUUUUUCUCUCGAGGUUCCGAGCACUUGCUCCUUUUUAUUUCCUCGUAUAUAUAUAUUUUUAUAUAUUUUUUUUCAGAGCAUUCAUCUCUUGAGAUAAUAUAGCAAGUGGUAGUAACAAGAUAACUUGAGCAUUUAUUUCACAAGGGAAAAACAGGAAUAUUUUUGGUUAUUCUCUCCCGGAUUAGGAGUAGAACAUUUUUAGGUGGUUCUGGAGAUGGAAAUGGAUGGAUAUAUGUGGAUGGUACUUCCGGAGUAGAAGUAGCAUAUAUGAGUGGAUGUGCAAGUGAAAUCUUGAUUUAACCACAUGACAAGCUCCUAAGGGUCUACACAGCUUGACCACACUCAAUGCUCAUAAGCAGUAAAUAAUAAAUGUGUGGCUCAAAGUCUAGCAAGCAUGUAUAUAUGGCUGUGGUAGGAAUUUAAACUCUCAUCAUACAGGAACUCAUCAUGCAACAUUUUAAAGAUUUUCAAAGAUAAAAUUCUCUAGAAUUCUAGCAUCUCUAGGAACAGAUAAACAACAGCUCAACCUUCUCAUAUUAUAUCCGUUAACAACUUAGACUUUAGAUCAAGUUUUCAUUCCACAAGUUUAGGUCUAGAGCAAGCUUUAAAUUAUAACAGUUAUGUCUAAACUUGAGAGUGAACUUAAAAUGUGCAAAUUAGGCAGAGCAACUAUUCAUCAUAUCCAUGCUUAAGUUUUAUUUAGAUACAGAUUAGCAUAGCCACUUUAUUUAUUUAUUAAACACACUAGGCAAAAGACAAAUAUAUAUAUAAGCAGAAAAUCUUUAUUUAUUUUUUCAUAGUUUAUGUAUUUUAAUAUAAGUAUAAAGAUAGAUAGAUAGAAAUACUUAUCGAGAUAAAUGGGGGUGCUCUCCCCCAAGCUGAAUUUUGACGUAAUUUCUUUUUGUCACACCCAAUUUUAAGGAUAAAAUUGAAUGCAAAACCUUAUGUGUGCCCAGAGAUCAAUCACACAUAAGCCGACAAAUUAUAGGGAGUAUCAUCACAAGUGUUUAUUACAUAACGAUAUAACUCAGAGUCUUUACACAAAUAUAGCGGGAAAUAAAAGAUAACUCUUGCAUGGAAGCUCCAUCUCACAGGCACGUCAACUGGUUGACCACAAGUCUAGAAUUCCUCAGGAAAGUACUGGUAGUAGUCAUUACCCAUGCCAUCUGUUACCCAUCCGGGAUUUUUAUCCAAAUAAAGAAAAUAAACAAGUGUAAGUACAUCUCGUACUUAACAAGUAUAACAGGGGGUUCAUGAGGCUCAAAGGCUAGACACUGGUUCAACUGCAUGUAGCUUUUAGUUGUCACAAUUUUAGCAUAAGAGUAGCAUCAAGUUGUCAAGACCCAUAGUAAACUCAUGAUCAGGUAAAGUGAAUAAAGAAUAGCAUGAACAGCAUAUUAACAAUAAUAACAUUUAAUGAAUUGCCAUUAGGUUCAUUUAUUCUGUAUUGGUCCAAGGCCGCUCGUGACCGUGAGCACGGCUCAUAUAUCAGUUUUACACUCUGCAGAGGUUGUACACUUUCACUGUGAGUCGUGAUUUACCCUUUCGCCCGAGGUGAUCAGCCCCUUAGCCCACUCCCAAGGAAGACCGGCAGGGUUCACUAUGAAGCCUUUCAAAGGUUCGUCUAACAAGUUAGGGCCGCUAGGUUUCGUUAGUCAGUCCGUGUGACUCACCCGCAGGAAUCCACGGUCUGCUAUCCCCCACUUGCGCCACAAGGGUUACCACUAACAAGCUAGAAAAGGUCCUCAUACUGAGGUAAAGCCAGAGCCAUAUAGCCCUCACAGUUGUACUGUAUGUCCCGGAUGGUCAGAUACAGAUAAGUCCUUAUGGAGAGAAACUAGAGCACCAUAAGAUAUCCCAAUGCUCCAGCCCUCUUUGCCAAAGUUGCUAAAAAGUCAUCUUUUAAUGUUUAUUGCAUAAUUCUUUAGUCAAGUUACAAGAUCAUGGUUUAGUGGAGCACUAGCAUAAGCUACCCAAUGCAAAACCAUAGGUGACAAGGUAUAAGAUCAAUACUAGGAAAUCCUUAUCAAGGAGACACAUGCAAUAUGAAUUGUGUGAUUAAAGUUAUUAGGAAACAAGGAUGAUCCCAUGCUAUACUUGCCUUGAUCACACUGGUCCUGCUGAUCCUGCUCGUAGAAGUACUCUUGUUCACCCCCGAACUGCUCACCGUCUACUCGCAACCACCACAUCAACAACAAUCAUCCAAAGGCAAUCAUGCAAAGCAAACAAGCCUAUUAUUAGAACAGUACACCAACAGUAAUAAAUAAAGAUAAAAAGUUUAUAAAACGAAUCUACAUCGCUCUACGAUCACACAGACGUAAAGAUCACGAAAAUCGGAGUUAUAACGAAGAAGUUAUGAUUUUCCGAAGAUUUACUUUAAAUAAAUAAUAGAUUAAAUCUAAACUCAGAUUUAAAAAGUUGAAAACUUGCACUACAGUAGCAUUAGACUAUAGACUACGCGAAAAUGAAUCUAACGCAACUUGAACGGAUUAAAUCGGAGUUAAAACGAAGUUUUUAUGAGCAAAAUAGACUUGAUGCCAAAACUGUAAAUCUGAGAAACUUCUUUUUGAACUGCACGGCUGAAAUACGUUUUCCAACUUGGAAAGCAUAAAGGGUGAAAGCGCAAAGGACCGCGGGUUACAUCUUUAAAAACUCGGGGGGGGUUUCUGCAAAUUUGGCGGCCGAAGGGGUAUCCUUCGUUUCUGGCCGUUGGAUCUCAAUUCGAUGGCCAGGAUUAGAUCGGGGUGGGGGAAGGAGGCUGGCCGGCUGGAGAUGAACAGGACGCGGCGGCUCCAUGGCCGACGUCGGCCGGAGUUGGCCAUGCCGGGGCUAGAAAGCAGUAGAGCGCGAGAUAAAAACACCGGCGUGCUCGGGAACUCAAAGCGAACUCACCUAAACACGAACCCGCAACGAAACGAGGCCGGCUGGGGCGUGCGACGGCGAUUGGCGGACGGCGACCCUGCAUGAUAGUUCGGCGAGGCUUAGAGAAGCACAGAGAGCUCGAAAGAACAAAAAGAGAACUUCGGCGACUUCGCAAACCGAAGCCGAAGCUCGGCAAGCUGCUCGCGCGGCUCGGGACGCACUGCAGCGGCGGAUUGAAGAUGCGGCGGAUCUUGGCGGCGGCUUCCGGCGAGUUUGACGCGACGGCUGCGGCUCGGGACAGCUUGGGGGGGUUGCGGGGCUUCGGGCGGUAUUUAAAGGGCGGAGAACGGGCGGAAUCGGAACUGCUCCGCGCGAAACACGCGCGCAGUUGAGGUGCGGCUCGUGUCCGGCUCGGACACGAGGUUGAAGACGAGCCUGACAGGGCGGUCCCACCUGGCAGUGGCGCUGGAGCGCGGGACCCGGCCGUCAGCUGCUGAGGCGAAGGGGAGAGGCGCUGGCUGACCACCUGGGCCGCGAGAUGGGCCGACCUGGUGCUGGGCCGAAACAAGAAGAAAGGGAAAGGGUGGAAAGAAAUGCGGGCCGCGGGGAAGAAAGGGUUGGGCCAAGCCCGAGGCAGGGGGAAAAUAAAGAGAAACCUUUUCCAUUUUCUAAAUUUUAAGUCUUGCUCAAAUAUUUUGAAAAGAAAAGCAAAACCAAUUUGAAAAGAAAACUUCACUCAACAAAAUACAUGCAGCAGCAUGAAUGCACAUACAUGUUUCUAGAUCCUAUAGUGAAUUUUAUUUCAAAAAUUAUUUUCGUACUAUUCUUUAGUGCUCACAUCAAAAGAUUAAUUCAAUUAGCCUAUUUGAAAAAAAAGAAAUUUUUAGGGUGUUACAAUUCUACCCCCCUUAAGAUGAAUCUCGUCCUCGAGAUUCGGUUGGUGCUUACUCAAACAACUGAGGAUAUGAUUUUCUUAGAUCUUCUUCUCUUUCCCACGUAGCCUCUUCCUCGGUAUACCUAUUCCACUGCACUCUGCACAUUCUGAUAACCCGACUCCUGGUGACUCUUUCUGCUGUUUCCAAAAUUCGGACCGGAUAUUCUUCAUAAGUAAGAUCACCUUUAACAGUUAAUUCCUCUAUCGGUAUCUGGUCUUCUGGCACUCGCAAGCACUUCUUAAGCUGUGACACGUGGAAGACAUCAUGCACUCCUUUUAAACUCUCAGGCAGUUCCAACUGGUAUGCCACUUCACCUCGCCUUUCCAACACUCUGAAAGGCCCAAUGUACCUUGGUGCUAACUUCCCUUUCAUGUUAAACCUUCUCACACUUCGCAUAGGAGACACCUUCAAAUACACAUAGUCUCCUACUUCAAAAGCCAACUCUCUUCUUCGUGUAUCAGCAUAACUCUUCUGCCGAGACUGUGCUGCUCUCAAGUUCUCCCGAAUUAUUCUCACUUGCUGUUCUGCAUCCCGUAACACAUCUGGUCCAAACACUUGUGUUUCUCCCGCUUGAUUCCAAAACAACGGGGUUCUACACUUCCGACCAUACAAGGCUUCAAAUGGUGCCAUCUGGAGACUUUUCUGAUAACUGUUGUUGUAUGAAAACUCUGCAUAUGGCAAACUCUUAUCCCAACUCGUCCCAUACUGCAAAGCACAUGCCCUCAGCAUAUCUUCCAAAAUUUGAUUAGUCCUUUCAGUCUGCCCAUCAGUCUGAGGAUGAUAUGCUGUACUAAAAUUCAGCUUAGUCCCCAGAGACUCAUGCACUUUCUGCCAAAAGUGAGAUGUAAACUGGGUACCUCGAUCAGAUACUAUCUUCCUGGGAACCCCAUGCAAACACACUAUUCUUUCCAUGUACAACUCAGCCAAUUUUGGUCCACUAUAUUUGGUCUUGACCGGGAUAAAAAGAGCGACCUUUGUUAACCGAUCCACUAUUACCCAUAUAGAGUCAUAACCUUUCUGAGUGCGGGGUAAUCCCACUAUGAAAUCCAUACCAACUUCCUCCCACAUCCACUCAGGGAUCUUCAUUGGUUGCAACAAUCCUGCCGGUCUCUGAUGUUCUGCUUUGACCCUCUGGCAAGUAUCACAUAAAGCGACAUACUCCGCAACAUCUCUUUUCAGGCCAUACCACCAAUACUUCUCUUUUAGGUCUAGGUACAUCUUAGUGCUGCCAGGGUGUAUAGAAUAAGCGGACUCGUGUGCCUCCCGCAGAAUUGCCUCUCUAAUAGACCGAUCCUCCGGCACACAUAGCCUUUUCCCAAACCAUAGUGUCCCAUUAUCAUCCAUUCGGAAACCUGGUGCCUUUCCGAUCACUAUGUUUUCAGCUAUCUCCUUCAGCUUUUCAUCCUGUAACUGACCCUUUCGUAUUUCUUGCUCCAAGGUAGGUUCUAUUACUAACUCAACUGCAUUAAUAACAAAACCCAAGUUCAAAUGUGAAAUUUCAGCACACAACUCCUCAGCCAUAGAGGCUAUUUGCACCUCGUUGGCAUAGCUCUUCCUGCUUAGGGCGUCUGCAACUACAUUUGCUUUACCCGGGUGGUAGUGUACCUCUAAAUCAUAAUCCUUGAUCAGUUCUAACCACCGACGUUGCCUCAAAUUCAGAUCCGACUGUGUGAAUAUAUACUUCAAACUCUUAUGGUCCGUGUAUAUGUCACUCUUAUGACCAAUAAGAUAGUGUCUCCAGAUCUUCAGGGCAUGAACCACUGCGGCUAACUCCAAGUCAUGAGUAGGAUAAUUUAACUCAUGCUUCCUCAACUGUCGGGAUGCAUAUGCCACUACUCUUCCUUCUUGCAUAAGAACACACCCAAGUCCUAGACGGGAUGCAUCACAAUAUAUGGAGAAAUUCUUGCUUAGAUCUGGCAGUACUAACACUGGAGCUGUAGUCAACCGCUUCUUCAACUCCUCGAAAUUUUCUUGACACUUGUCAGACCACACAAACUUGGCAUUUUUCUCAAGCAGAGCUGUCAUUGGUUUGGCAAGCUUGGAGAAUCCAUCAAUGAACCUUCGGUAAUAACCAGCCAAUCCCAAGAAACUGCGGAUUCCACUCACAUCUGUAGGUGGUUUCCAAUCGAGCACAUCCUUCACCUUGCUUGGAUCCACCGCUAUUCCUCCAUUAGAGACAACAUGGCCUAGAAAGGAAAUUUCCUUCAACCAAAACUCACACUUACUUCGUUUAGCAUAUAACUUGUGUUCCCGAAGCUUCUGCAAGACUAACCUCAGAUGCUCAGCGUGCUCUCGCUCAGUCUUGGAGAAUACCAAUAUGUCAUCAAUAAAUACCACCACAAACUUGUCAAGAAACUCCAUGAACACCUUAUUCAUCAGGUACAUAAAGUAAGCAGGAGCAUUGGUCAGACCGAAGGACAUCACUGUGUACUCAUACAAACCAUACCGGGUCGUGAAUGCUGUCUUUGGUAUAUCAGUGGCACGAAUCUUCAGCUGAUGGUACCCAGAACGAAGAUCGAUCUUAGAAAACACACAAGCACCUCUCAACUGAUCAAACAAAUCAUCAAUUCUAGGCAAUGGAUAUUUAUUCUUGAUUGUGACCUCAUUGAGUGACCGGUAAUCUACACACAUCCUCUGUGUACCAUCUUUCUUAUCGACAAAAAAUCACUGGUGCCCCCCAAGGUGAAGAGCUAGGACGAAUGAACCCUUUUUCCUGCAACUCCUUUAUUUGUUUCUUAAGUUCUUCCAAUUCCUUAACCCCCAUUCUAUAUGGACGUUUAGCUAUAGGUGCAGUGCCAGGUAAUAAUUCAAUAAUAAACUCAAUGUCACGGUCGGGUGGCAUACCUGGCAAAUCAUCGGGGAACACGUCGGGAAACUCAUCAACAACCAGGCCCUCCUGAUUGACACUGUUAUCAAGCUGGUUCACUGUAGCUGUUGGCUGAGGCUGAACUGCAACUUCCACACAGAUUCUGUCCCCUUUUGGUGUUGUUAGUGCAACUGCCUUUCCUUUACACUGAAUUGAUGCAUCUUGUUGUUUCAUCCAAUCCAUUCCCAGAAUCACAUCUAUACCAGAUGCUCUCAACACAAUUGGACUUAUCUUGAACUCUACCCCCCUUAGGUUUAAAGUAAGUGGGAGGCAACUAUAAGCAGCUUGCAUACUUCCCCCCGGUGAAUUUACUAAUAUGGGAUUCUUCAUGGCACAUAAGGGUAAGCUAUGUAUUCUAACAAAUGCUUGUGAUAUGAAAGUAUGCGAAGCUCCAGAAUCAAAAAGAACAGAUGCGGGGAUAGAGUUGACUUCGAACGUACCAAGCAUAACUUCCGGUUCCUGCUGUGCUGUCUCAGAGGACAUAUGGUUCACCCUUCUAGUGUUGGGAGCUGACUUCUGGUUGCUAUUUUGCUUCUGGGGGGUGUGCUGAUUUUGCUUUUCCGAGCAAUGAUAUGACAGGUGACCCUCUUUACCACAGCGGAAACACUUGUUGGGGGUGUUAGGGGCACUAGUCUUCAUCGGAGUGUUACUGGGCGUACCCUGGCGUGACGUCUGCUGAUUGCCUUGCUGCUGAUUCUGCUGAUACUGCGGGCGCUGCUGGAACUGAUUGCGCUGGGGGUACUGACCACGAUUCCACUGUGAAGGUGGUCCUUGGUACCUUUGCUGAGAACCUUGCUGCUGGUUGGUGCGUGGACGAGUAUUACUUCCGGAGGCCUGUCCCUGCAUCCUCUUCCUUUUAGCAUCCAUCUCCUUACGCUUGUUAUCCACCACGAUAGCACGGUUCACAAGUGUCUGAUAAUUGGGGUAUUCAUUGGACAUCAGCUGGAGUUGGAGCCCAUCAUACAAACCCUUCAAAAAGAGGCGUUAUUUAUCAGCAUCAUUAGCCACCUCACUGGGAGCAUAGCGCGACAACUGAGCAAACUUGUCCCUAUACUCCGGAACUGUCAUAGAACCCUGCUUCAAAUUCCGGAACUCCUCAGCCUUCAGUUCUAUUAACCCUUCAGGUAUGUGAUAGGACCUAAAGUUCUCCUUGAACUCCAGCCAUGUGAUAGCAGGUGCAUUGGGAGGUCGUCCAUACUCAAACGACUCCCACCAUGUCUGAGCUUCUCCCUGGAGUUGUCCAGAUGCGAACAACACCUUCUGCCUAUCAUCACACUAUGCUAUGUUGAGUUGCUUCUCCACUGCUCGAAGCCAGUCAUCUGCCUCCAGUGGGUCAGUAGCAUGUGUGAACACAGGGGGAUGACCUUUCAAAAAUUCACCCCGCUUAUCACGCGGUGGUGCUCCUCCGAUUGGGUGAUUCUGUUGGUUGUUCACCAGGGCUUCCAUAAGCUACGUCUGGACUGCUAGUAGCUGUUCAAUGGUGGCGGGUGGGUUGAGUGGGACACCCCUUCCACGUCCUCUACCUCUUGGUGGCAUCUGUCAUAACAUUAAAACUUUAGAAACUCCCAAAAUAUGGACUUUCAAGUGCAAGUUUGCAAUUCUGAAAACUUCUGUGUGAGUCCAGUGCCAGCAGUUCAGUAAAACGAUCAUAACUUGUGAUAUAAAAGUCCAACAGAGACGAAACUUGAUGGUUGGAAAGCUUAAGAAAUUGUCUACAACUUUUAUUUAGAACACAAAUCCAGAUUCGGACGUUAAAUUAGCCAUAAACUGUCUCCAAUCGAAACUGUCCCAGAACUCAAACUGCACAGGAACCUCUGUUUUCAACUUUCAUAAAUCUUGGCUCAGAUCAGAUAAAAAGGUGAUUCCAGCGGCAUAGGAAAGAUGCUUAAGUCUAGUUAUUCUCAUAAAAUUUUCAUAAUUUUUGGUCGAACUGAUUUUUCUGGGUAAAAUUAUUAAGACAGAUAGGUUUAAAGAACGAAAACAGGAAAGGCAGAUAUACCAACCCAACUAUUUAUUCAUUAAACCUUAAUCCUUAAGAGCCUAAACCAUGGAACUUGUAGACAUGCCUACAAUGUCCCCAGCACUCAUUACAAAGAUCCAACCCACUCAUAAACAUAAUAACAAGCAACUAAGCAUAACAAAAGCACACCACACUAACAUGACUCAACUCACUAGCGCUACUAGCGGCUUAAAAUAGGGACCUCCAACACUAAGGGCGUGGUUCAUAGUCAAGCUUUCCAUAGAUCUUGGGCUGUCCUUCCCUCUCACGAUGCUCGUCAAUCAUCUUGUAGCACCUCUUGAGAGCCUUCCCUUGUGCUAUCACCAUGUCUUGCAAUUUCAAAUGCUUUUCCACCAUCUCAUGAGCGAAGUACACCAUCACUCGGGAGACUGGGUCCAAAUCUGUUGGCUCCAGCAUUCCCCAUCCUUGUUCCGGGUCCAGGCGGGGUAGAUAACGGUGUAUGUCCCACCUCAUGUUACCGAAACGCUGCUCACGGAGGAACAAACAUGCUGUGAAAGCUGCUUCCUCCAUGCUCUCUUCCAUAGUAGCUCUAUGUCCAUCAUGACGGUAGCCCCUGUCCUUCAAGUAGGCAUCUUUCUCCACAUCUUUGGGAAAGAUCAGCACCUUGGACUUCCAAUAGGUGUUCUCCAGGCGGUGCGUGUACUCGAUGCAGGAAUACUCCACUACUGCAUCCCAGUCAGAGAAAUAAUUCUCCAACAUUCCCACCAGUCGGUGAUGCGAUGGAGAGUUGCACGAAGCCUUGUGAUACACCUUCCUAGUCCACCCUAUGGGAGGGGACUCAUCAUCUUCAGCAGGUCCAUCUUGUGGCGGUGAUGGGGGUUGACCUCCUCCGGGGGCACCUUCUCCUUCAUCAUCGGAAAUAAGUAUGAACUCCUAGGGCUCCUCCUCUGGUUCAGACUCCACUUGCGAUAGCUCUGGCCCAGAUGCUUGCUCUGAAGGUGGUGGGGUCUCCUCACGCUCCGGUGAACUCUCCUCUUGUGGCUCCAUAGGCUCGUAUUGGUAACGAGGUGGAUGGUACCCUCCAGUGGAGAUACGGGCGGUCUUGUUGGCACGAACCAUCUAUAGAAUGGACCGGAGAGAAGUUAGAUUAGAAUCAAUAAUUUCAUAAUAGGAUAAGAUGAUAGAAGCAUAAAGUUUUUAGAAAAUAACAAGAGCAAGAUGGUAAGCAUGAAUGUAGAGAAGAAAAGACUACUAAGACGACCGUUUCUAUAUAGGCUUGCGUCCUAGAGUCAAUACGGGUCUGAUACCAAUUUGUCACACCCAAUUUUAAGGAUAAAAUUGAAUGCAAAACCUUAUGUGUGCCCAGAGAUCAAUCACACAUAAGCCGACAAAUUAUAGGGAGUAUCAUCACAAGUGUUUAUUACAUAACGAUAUAACUCAGAGUCUUUACACAAAUAUAGCGGGAAAUAAAAGAUAACUCUUGCAUGGAAGCUCCAUCUCACAGGCACGUCAACUGGUUGACCACAAGUCUAGAAUUCCUCAGGGAAGUACUGGUAGUAGUCAUUACCCAUGCCAUCUGUUACCCAUCCGGGAUUUUUAUCCAAAUAAAGAAAAUAAACAAGUGUAAGUACAUCUCGUACUUAACAAGUAUAACAGGGGGUUCAUGAGGCUCAAAGGCUAGACACUGGUUCAACUGCAUGUAGCUUUUAGUUGUCACAAUUUUAGCAUAAGAGUAGCAUCAAGUUGUCAAGACCCAUAGUAAACUCAUGAUCAGGUAAAGUGAAUAAAGAAUAGCAUAAACAGCAUAUUAACAAUAAUAACAUUUAAUGAAUUGCCAUUAGGUUCAUUUAUUCUGUAUUGGUCCAAGGCCGCUCGUGACCGUGAGCACGGCUGAUAUAUCAGUUUUACACUCUGCAGAGGUUGUACACUUUCACUGUGAGUCGUGAUUUACCCUUUCGCCCGAGGUGAUCAGCCCCUUAGCCCACUCCCAAGGAAGACCGGCAGGGUUCACUAUGAAGCCUUUCAAAGGUUCGUCUAACAAGUUAGGGCCGCUAGGUUUCGUUAGUCAGUCCGUGUGACUCACCCGCAGGAAUCCACGGUCUGCUAUCCCCCACUUGCGCCACAAGGGUAACCACUAACAAGCUAGAAAAGGUCCUCAUACUGAGCUAAAGCCAGAGCCAUAUAGCCCUCACAGUUGUACUGUAUGUCCCGGUUGGUCAGAUACAGAUAAGUCCUUAUGGAGAGAAACUAGAGCACCAUAAGAUAUCCCAAUGCUCCAGCCCUCUUUGCCAAAGUUGCUAAAAAGUCAUCUUUUAAUGUUUAUUGCAUAAUUCUUUAGUCAAGUUACAAGAUCAUGGUUUAGUGGAGCACUAGCAUAAGCUACCCAAUGCAAAACCAUAGGUGACAAGGUAUAAGAUCAAUACUAGGAAAUCCUUAUCAAGGAGACACAUGCAAUAUGAAUUGUGUGAUUCAAGUUAUUAGGAAACAAGGAUGAUCCCAUGCUAUACCUGGGCCGCGAGAUGGGCCGACCUAGUGCUGGGCCGAAACAAGAAGAAAGGGAAAGGGUGGAAAGAAAUGCGGGCCGCGGGGAAGAAAGGGUUGGGCCAAGCCCGAGGCAGGGGGAAAAUAAAGAGAAACCUUUUCCAUUUUCUAAAUUUUAAGUCUUGCUCAAAUAUUUUGAAAAGAAAAGCAAAACCAAUUUGAAAAGAAAACUUCACUCAACAAAAUACAUGCAGCAGCAUGAAUGCACAUACAUGUUUCUAGAUCCUAUAGUGAAUUUUAUUUCAAAAAUUAUUUUCUUACUAUUCUUUAGUGCUCACAUCAAAAGAUUAAUUCAAUUAGCCUAUUUGAAAAAAAAGAAAUUUUUAGGGUGUUACACUUUUGAUGUAGCUAGCAAGCGGCGGUCUUCACCGCCGUGUGUGAGGGCUACUUGGGGAUGAUGCCGCACUAGGAGCUAUGGCUCCACCUCUACAGGGGCGAGCUUUUCCACGCCCCCACCGGAACCACGGGCGUAAGGAAGCCCGUGCGGGUGGGAUGCCUCAAUCUGGUGCAGAAGAUGGGGAAGACAGACAGGCCGCGGGAGUACAUCCCGGUAGGGUUAUCGACCAACCACGCCGGCUGGGACUCCCAGUGGUUUUACCUGCGGAACGACGACAACCUCCUGCCUUCCUACUCGGGCCGUCUGAUCAUGGAGCGUCCAGCGGACUGGACAUACGGCGUCGUCCAAGCUCAUCAAUCUCGGCUCGACCCCCUCCUCGACGCCCUGAAGAAGCUUCGCCAGGAGGGUUUGACCGCCGCUCUCUUCCUCUCGGCCGUCCAUCAUCGGAGAGUUCUCCCAUUGAUGUCUCGACCGUUGAGGAUGGACGAGAUGGGCCCUGGCGUCUCAUCUCGGGACCUCGAGGCGUGUCGGAUGUCCAACGAGGCUCCGGCGGACGACGAAGUCGCGGCCCGAGUCAGGGCUGCAAUUGCCGGUGAUUUUCAGCCGGAGCAUGUUAACGGCUUCCCCAUGAGACCAGAUGCAGGCUUGAUCGAUCUGGUACGCUUUCUUCUUGCGCGUAGCCUCGAUUCUGGGUUUCCUUUCUCCCCUUUCUUUUUUCUAAGUCAACCUUUGUUUUGGCAGGGUCGGAUUGAUGUCCGGUCCUCGAGGCCUCCGGUAAAGGAGGACGAGGUCGAUCGCGACAAACGGCGCCAAUCUGCCGAGAAGCUAAAGUCCGCCAAGGACUCUGCAAAGAAGGGGGAGAAGAAGAAGAACCUCGACUGCCAAGCAUUAGAGGCGCGUCGAGCCAAAUCCAGGCAGAGGGGGGAGCCUGAGGAAGAAUCCCCCAACAACGACGACGAUGACGAUGAGGGCAGGGAUGACUCUGAGGGGAUGCCGUCGCACCUCGACCGAAUCCUCGAGGGUCCGCCUCGAGGCGAUGUCGACGCCCCCCGGAUGGAGACUCCAAAAGAGGGUCCGAGCGGAUCUCACCGCCCUCGGUCCGACACCCCUCCUGCGCCCAAGGCCGGUCAAGUCGCGCCGCGCCCUCCCCCGGCGCCUAGGGAGAGCGGUCAUGCUAGGCCCCAGGUGACGGGGCCAUUGACUCGCGGUCGCGCCACGGCCUCCGAGAAAGGAGAGGCCGGCCGCAGGAGUGCCAGUCCUGGCGCCCGCCAAGCGGAAACUGACGCGCCUAGGCCCACGCCUGCCCUCGAGGGACCUGGAGUCCUAUCGCGGGGUGGCUCGAGGCCCGCCGGUCGGGGCGGCGGGAGGCGAGCUGUUCUCCCUGUGGGGUAAGCCUUUUCGAUGUUGUGGCUUUUGUCUUCCUGCUCCUCUGCGUUUCCUCAUAUGCCGAUCUUUUCUCAGGCUAAAGCGGACCCUCGAGCAAGCCCAGCCGUCUAUGGCAAAGAGGCUCAAAACGGGAGCCGCCCCCAAGGAACGAGGUUCGUAGUUUAUUUCUGGGCCUUGUAAUGUUCUUGUGUCGGUCACUAUAGCGUCUGACCUUUACCCUAUGCCUUGUAGGCUCCUCCGACUCCCAGCCCCCAGCCGGCGCUGAGAGUGCUCCGCCUCGUUCCGUGCCUACCCUGUCGCUGCCGACGUGUGGCGAGGCGCCCCAGACGCAAGUGCCGGAGGGAGCCCCCGAGCCUCCUCAAUUGGGGGUCGAGGGGGAACCCAUCACCAUCAGUAAUACGUCUGAUGGUAACGAAACGCCUGGAGGCGCCCGCCCUAUGGAGGAGGAAGCGUCGACCUCUCACGUCGCUGGACCGACUCCCUGGCCCGCCGGUCUCUGCGCCCUCGAGGAGUAGAAGAAGAAGAGGGAGGAAGACGAAGAGCUGGAGCGUGAGGCGGCACGGCAGCCACAGGAGCAGGGCCGCGGGCAAGAGCCGCAGGAGCAUGAGGCGCAACGGCAGCAGCAACAGCAACACCAGGGGGGCCAAGAGGAGGGACUGCUCGAGCCCCCGCCCCAAGGUCCGGCCCAGCCAGUACCGCCGGAGCCGCAAGGGCCUGGCGAGCAAGAAGAGGAUCUACCGGUGUACGGCCCCCCGACCCCAGCGUGGCUCCUCCCGGGGGCACCUGCCGCGAUCCGGGCAGAGCCGGGGCGAGCGGAUGGAGUGGUGGCGCUCGCCUGCAUGAUGCGCACCCCCACCGACCCUGAGUUCGAGAUCAAGCGGACGAUCUAUGGCAUGGACGGGAUCGCCCUAGGGUUCCUCCGGGAGCGUCGGGCAUGAGAGGACCGCUUUCCCUCCGAGGAGGAUGAAAUCGGGACGUCGGGGACCAAGGACGGUACCUGGAAGACGGUGGACGACGACGGGCGGUUUCCCAUGCCUCGUCGACCUGUUCCUGCGCCAUGGGGGCUCCCUCAAGACCGUCGAGGACCUCAUCUGCGGCGUCAAGGCACGGGCCGACCGGGAGAUGGAGCACUGGUGCCCUGAUCGGAUCCGCAUCCGGGCCUCCCACGACCCGUCCGAGCCGAACAUCUUCCUGGACGACCGGAAGGAGGCGGAAAAGUGGGAACACGUCGAGGAGCUCCGCCUUUGGAUGAAGCAUGUGGUGGGGCUCCUCGCAGACGUUAUCAACAACGGGCUCGGGCCGGCUUAUUUCGUAAGUUUCUUUUCGAUCUUCUAUCCUCAUGGAGACUUUCGGUUUUGUGCUCUAACCGUUCGAUCCUUGGUUCGCAGGAUAUGAAAGAGACCUCCCGCAUCAAGUCUAGUUUCAUUCAUGCCACGAGAGGUGGCUGGGAGCAGCUCCCCCUCCUUAAGGAUCAACUCCUCGAGUCGCAGGAGAAGCUCCUUCAGACCUACAAAGACCUCAUAGCGCUCGGGGAGGAGAAGAAAGCGAGUGAGGCUGCCUUGGUCGAGGCUCGAGAGGCCUCAAGGAGGGCGGAGGAGGAGACGAUGAUGCUGCAGGAGCGGGCUCUUACGGUCGAGGAGGCCGCGUCCAAAGCCCGGGAGGAGGCCCUGUCCUACAAGAGCGUCAUUGCAGACCUGGACAAGGAGAAGGGCCUUCUCAAGACCGACCUGGACUCCCUCCGCGACUCCUUCCAGAAGAUGAAGGUGGCGUACGUGGACAGUGAGGUCGCCAGGGGUGCCGCCGAGGAUGUAAAGAAGAAGACCCUCGAAGACCUCGAGGCGGAGCGGGCUCCAUCCUGCAGUCUCUCUGACGACGUCGAGCGUCUGAAGGGAGAAUUGCUGGAGGAGAGUGGAGCCAUUGCUCAGGCUGGCAAGGUGAUCGAAGUCCUCCGCGUUGCCAAUACUGAGCUGGUGCGUUCCAACAGAGAGAUCGAGUGUACCAACACCAGAUUGGUCGGCGAGAACACGGCCCUAGAGGAGAGCAUCAGAGGUAUGUUUCCUUUGUCGAAUUUCUUUUUUGAGGUGUGCUUGAGUUUUUCCUAAAGCUUCCUUGUAUUGGCAUUUACAGGGCUCAAGGACGAACUCCUAGCCGCCCAGGCCGAGGCCUGUAAUGCUAAGGCCCAGCUCGAGGCGGAGGUUGCUUUGAACCGUCGAGUGCGGACAGCGAUAAGCGACCUCUCGACCUCGUGGGAGGUCGAGCCUAUGGACGAGUCGAGGGAGGGAGCUCAAGGCGAUGCACUGGUCGACCAGCUGUGCUACUUGGGCGUGACGCUUAGGGACCGAGUGCGGGACGCCCUCCACAUCGGGGUGAAGCGGGCGAUGGCAGUUGUCUGCUCGGGCUUCUCAUAUGACAUGGAGGUGGUGUCCCACGGCUUCGUCACCGAUAUCUCCAAGACCGACGCGGAGAACGAGGAGAGGCUCCACGCCUUGAUCGACGACGCGUAGGCUCCUGGGGAAAGGUUGGCUAAGCUUUUUGAGCCUAAGGUGCUCCCUCCUGAGACUAGCUCGGGCGGAGGCGAGGGCGGUGAGGAUCGUGCCGCGGACUGAGGCCUGUGAGCCUGUUCAGGGCGCCUGGGGCCCCUUGUAUGAUACUCUGUAAAUUCUGUCGCUAAGUGAUACUGUAUCUUUUUGUAAUUGUUAAAUGCUUAUUUGUCUUUCCGCUCGAGGUUCUUUUAUUUGUCUUUCCGCUAAGUGAUACAGCAUACUUUGUUAAUUCUGUUCCUACGUUUGUAUCCCCUGCUCGAUCUUUCGUCAGAAACAAACUCGAUCACCUCAAUGGUGAGGAAGUGAGUAGAGUUUCUGUGGCCCGGGGGCGUAGGAGUUCUCCGGCUCAUUGUCCCUCGGCCUUUGAGGGGCUCGAGGCGCCUCCACUACUCGAGCCGUGCAAGGUUUACUAAAUAAGAAAAGAAAAUUUCUUGGCUUUUUCGAUGCUUGGGGGGGGUCGUCCCCCUGGUAGCCCCCGAGGGGGUGUUGACUAUGAUGGGUCAUAGUCGGCAUCCCCUUCUAACGUCGAGAUUAUGACUUGUAAAUCUUUUGGCGCAAAAAGAAGUUGCUCGAGGGAAAGACUUUAUUUAUUCAUUCAUUCGUUUACAAAGUCUUGGUACAAAAUGUACGUAGGAACAUAAGUUUAGAACUUCUAAGGGUAGAAUCGACGUAGCUGUUCGAUGUUCCAUGCGUUGGUGAAGACUGCCCCCUUCUCGUCCGCCAACUUGUACGUUCCCGGCUUCAGGACCUUGGCCACCACAUACGGGCCUUCCCAAGGUGGAGUCAGCUUGUGGCGUCCUUGAUUGCUUUGCCGGCGUCGUAGGACAAGGUCACCCACGUUGAGGUCCCUCUUGCGCACGUGCUUGUCGUGGUAGAGUCGAAGUUUCUGCUGAUAUCUGGCGGAGUUGAGGAGGGCCAUGUCUCGAGCCUCCUCGAGUUGGUCGACCACGUUUUCUUGAGUCUCCUUAUUGGAUUGCUCAUUGUACGCCUUGAGUCGAGGUGACCCAUACUCGAGGUCUGUGGGGAGAACAGCCUCGGAGCCAUAGACCAUGAAGAAUGGGGUGUACUUUGUGGCCCUAAUUGGUGUUGUCCUUAGACUCCAUAGAACCGAGGAAAGCUCCUCGACCCAUUUCUUGCCGAAUUUCUUCAAACGAUUGUAGAUCCUUGACUUAAGUCCUUGCAAAAUCAUGCCGUUGGCACGCUCGACCUGGCCGUUAGUUCGAGGGUGGGCUACUGCAGACCAGUUCACACGGAUGUGAUGCUGAUCGCAGAAGUCCAAGAACUUUUUGCCAGUGAACUGAGUGCCGUUGUCGGUGAUGAUGACGUUGGGAAUCCCAAAUUGAUGGAUUAUGUCGGUGAAGAAAAGGACGGCCUGCUCGGAGCGGAUGUUGGUGAUGGGUCGAGCCUCGAUCCAUUUGGAGAAUUUGUUAAUGGCCACCAGCAAGUGGGUGAACCCUCCUUUCGCCUUUUGUAGAGGUCCUACUAAAUCGAGCCCCCACACCGCAAACGGCCAGGUGAUGGGGAUCAUCUGAAGAGCGUGGGCGGGCAGGUGCGUCUGCUUGGCGUAGAACUGGCACCCGUGACACGAGCGUACGAGCUCGAUGGCAUCUGCCACGACCGUCGGCCAGUAGAAACCUUGUCGGAAAGCGUUUCCUACGAGGGUCCGUGGAGCAGCAUGGUGGCCGCAGGCCCCCGAGUGUAGAUCCUCGAGGAGUUUUCGGCCUUCUUCCAUGGUGAUGCAGCGCUGUAAGACCCCCGUGGGGCUUCGUCGAUAUAGCUCAUCGUCUUCGCCAUAGAUCACAUAUGACUUGUCCCGUCGAGCGAUACGACGGGCCUCUGACCGAUCUUCUGGCAGCUCGCCCCGGAUUAGGCAGUCGAGGUAUGGUGUGCGCCAGUCGAAUGGUCGACCAGGCUGCCAUUCUACCUCCAUCACUUCAGCCGCCAUCAAGAGUAUGUUGACGGUGUGGGGGCUGGAUUGGGCAGGAGCAGCGUCGAUGCCAGCCCCCGAGCCUAAGUCGACGGAUGGUUCGUGGAGGUCUCUUGAGAACGCGUCCGGUGGCACCGUGCCUCGAGCCGAUGCGAUCUUGGCGAGUUCGUCGGCUGCCUCGUUGUAGCGUCGGGCGACAUGGACGAGCUCGAGACCAUGGAAUUUGUCCUCGAGUCGAUGGACUUCUUUGCAGUACGCCUCCAUUUUCGGGUCGUGGCAGCUCGAGGUUUUCAUUACUUGGUCGACGACGAGUUGGGAGUCACCUCGAACGUCGAGGCGUUGGACUCCUAACUCGAUGGCAAUCUUGAGACCAUUGACAAGGGCCUCAUAUUCUGCGACAUUGUUAGACGCGGCAAAAUGAAUCCUGAUCACAUACCUCAUGUGGACACCCAAGGGUGAGAUGAACAGCAGGCCGGCCCCAGCCCCCGUUUUCGUGAGUGACCCGUCGAAAUACAUUGUCCACAGCUCCGCCUGGACCUGGGUCGGGGGAAGCUGGGAGUCCGUCCAUUCCGCGACGAAGUCAACCAGGGCUUGCGAUUUGAUGGCCUUUCGAGGCGCGUAAGUGAGAGUCUCACUCAUGAGCUCGACCGACCACUUAGCUAUUCUUCUCGUGGCUUCCUUGCUCCGGAUUAUCUCGCCCAAGGGGAAAGAUGAAACCACUGUGAUGGGGUGACCGAGGAAGUAAUGCUGCAGCUUGUGGCGGGCAAGGAUUACAGCGUAGAUCAGCUUCUGGAUUUGGGGGUAACGCGCCUUGGUCUCCGAAAGCACCUCGCUGAUGAAAUAGACUGGCCUUUGGACCGGCAGCGCAUGACCCUCCUCCUGUCUUUCAACCACCACUGCCGCACUGACGACCUGGGUCGUUGAUGCGACGUAGAGGAGUAGCGGCUCUGCAGGUUGAGGUGGGACCAGGACUGGUGCCGAGGUCAGCAUCUUCUUCAGCCUUUCGAGCGCUUCCUCGGCCUCGGGGGUCCAAGAGAAGCGUUCGACCUUCUUCAGAAGUCGAUACAAUGGUAACGCCUUUUCUCCUAGUCUCGAGAUGAAACGGCUCAGGGCCGCCAGGCAUCCCGUGACUCUCUGCACACCCUUGAUGUCUCGGAUCGGCCCCAUUCUUGUGAUGGCCGAGACUUUCUCGGGGUUGGCCUCGAUGCCGCGCUGCGAAACAAUGUAGCCCAAGAGCAUGCCUCAAGCCAUGCCAAAAACGCACUUCUCGGGAUUGAGCUUGAUCUGGUUGGCGCGUAAACAGCUAAAAGCGAUCUCAAGGUCCUGGAUCAGGUCCCCUCGCCGCUUUUACUUGACGACAAUGUCAUCGACAUAGGCCUUGACCGUCGACCCUAUGUGUUCACCAAAUACAUGGAGCAUGCAACGUUGGUACGUAGCUCCCGCGUUUCGAAGCCCAAAUGGCAUGGUCACAUAGCAAUACAUCCCAAAAGGCGUGAUGAAAGAGGUCGCGAGCUGGUCGGACUCCUUCAUUUUUAUUUCGUGGUAACCAGAAUAUGCAUCAAGGAAAGAAAGGGUUUCACAUCCCGCGGUAGAAUCGAUAAUCUGAUCAAUACGUGGUAAUGGAAAAGGAACUUUCGGACAUGCUUUAUUUAGACUAGUAUAAUCGAUACACAUCCUCAUUUUCCCAUUCUUUUUCUUAACUAAUACAGGGUUUGCUAACCAGUCGAGAUGAUGAACCUCCUUGAUGAAUCCGGCCGUCAAAAGCUUGUGGACUUCCUCGCCAAUGAUCUUGCGCUUCUCCUCAUCGAAUCGGCGCAACCGCUGCUUCACUGGCUUGGAACCGGCUCGAAUCUCCAAGGAGUGCUCGGCGACUUCCCUCGGUAUGCCUGGCAUGUCCGAGGGACUCCAUGCAAACAUGUCGGUGUUUGCACGGAGAAAGUCGACGAGCACAGCUUCCUAUUUGGGGUCGAGAUCGGCGCUAAUCGUCAGCACCUUGCCGUCGGAGUUGUUGGGGUCGAGUGGGAUCUUCUUGGUUCCUUCUGCCGCCUCGAAGCUGCCCGCGUGGCGCUUGGGCUCUGGAGCCUCAGCGGCCAGGGCUUCGAGCUUCGCGACGAGCUCGGUGGAGUUCUCGACCGCCUCCCCGUACUCAACGCACUCGACGUCGCACUCGUACGCGUGCUCGAAGGAGGAGCUGACGGUGAUGACGCCUUUGGGGCCGGGCAUCUUCAGCUUCAGGUAGGUGUAGUUGGGUAUAGCCAUGAACUUGGCGUAGCCCGGGCGUCCGAUGAUGGCGUGGUACGUGCCUCGGAAUCCAACCACCUCAAAGGUGAGGGUUUCCUUCCUGAAGUUGGCCGCCGUGCCAAAGCAGACCGGUAAGUCGAUUCGACCUACCGGCAGUGCUUUUUUCCCUGGCACGACGCCAUGGAAACCGCCGGCACUUGGUUGGAGCUUCCCUCUAUCUAUGCCGAGGAGGUCGAGGGUCUCGAGGUAGAUGAUGUUGAGGCUGCUGCCACCGUCCAUUAGCACCUUUGAGAGCCGGGUGUUGACGAUGAUAGAGUCGACGAUGAGCGGGUGUUGAUAUUUGGUAACGCAAUUAGAAAAUGAUCCGCAAGCGCACGGAUAUCGGUGAGCAUUUCACCCGGGAGGUUAUCCAGAGUUAUCGUAUUUAUAUUUUUACCACUGGGAGAAAGGGUGCAUCUGACUAACCAAAUCUAUUGCUACUAUCCCUUUAGGCUACAAAGAAUGUCUCUCGAUGUGAGUGAUGUAUAGAGAAGACUGCAACAGUACUCUCAUUCUAACCUUGGUAAGGAUGAUCUACUGUUCUAUUGGGGAGGCUCACGGAAUCUAGACAACACAAAGGAUGUUCGACCCGCACCUAUAAACCUACCCGUCCUGCUAACGAGAUGUGAUCUGCAAAGGUAACUCGGAAAUGUCACGUUCCUCGCUACUACCACGGUCCAGCUAGUCAGGGGAUAUCUAUGAGUACCCUAGCCUAAACACCACGUUUACGCUAGCAAGUGAUUACUCUAAUACUCAACCGGAAGAGGAUUAAAGUAAACUCAUAAACCAAAGAACAAUAAAACAAGAACUUACUAGCAUUAGAAGUCGAAUUACUGAAGAAUCUUAGCAGCAAGCCUCGGGUUAGGAGACUUGAUCCCGUAGGUACAACUCGGGGUAGACACCGACAGGCCGGCCUUCCUCCGAUCCACACCUCCACUCUAUCUCUCUCAAUCUAGUAGAAACUAGAAGAUCUAUUUCUACUUUACAUUGGUUGCUAAGCCUAAAAAGAAAUAUUAUUUAGAGAAGAGGUUUUCCUUCGAGGGCACCCCUCAAUCUCUAUGAUAAUUUCUUGUCUCCUCCAGGGGCCAGAGGGGGUCUCCUUAUAUAGUCCUCCCCUUCUAUGCAUUUUUGGGUCGAUAGGCGAGGUGGUACUAUGUUUUCCUUGAUCCAAUAGGUCGGUGGAACAUCCCGAGCGAAAGAGUCCUGAUUUGGCUCCAACAGGGGGGCGGGUGCCCUGGGCCUGGCCCAGUUUCGCCUCCGCUUCGAUCUCGUGGCUUCUGGAGUCUUCUAGAUGAUGUAAAAUCGUGCGGUGCGUUGAUAUCUCUAUGUAAUCCCGACAUGUGGGCCUUUCUUCCUUAUUUCCUGAUAACCCCCUGCAGAAAUAGACAAACACCAAACCUCGUGGAAUUCUGUCAGAUAAAACCCUAAGUCUAGAUGUUGAUUUCAUUUGGAUCCUUUUCUUUGUUUAUUUGAUAAUUAAAUUUGAUACUUAAGGACCGUCAACAAAAUCCCCCAAGCUUACCUCUUGCUCGUCCCUGAGCAAGGAUGAACUCAAGAGUUCCUGCAGUGGUUUCAUUUCUUAGAAGUACACACGCAUUUAAGCAAGAUCUCAUCUCUGAGUUAGAAUAAACUGUUAAGACUUAAAACUUACUUACUUUACCUACACCAUAGGAUUUGUAACCGUCACUUCUGUCUUGAGUGGUUAAAAGAUAGAACAGUCUAGCCAAGUGCCAUGUCUCUUAUUCUUGAUCAGCUAUAGCUCUGGGGUUUUUACAGAUUUUCAAAUAAAACUCAGAAAUUCCUUGUAUGAUACUCUCAGGUCUCUCUUUUGUGGUAUUUUUGGAUCCUUACCAAGGCAGUGAUGGUAUAUGCCUUCUCUCGAGAUAUGUAGUAUUUGUGGUAUGAAGCAUAGUGACAUUGUCUUCUCUCUCACCCUACUCUAAUAAGGCUUUAAUAUUUGGAGCUCAUAGGUGGGAGAUAAAGUAUACAUACUUACAAGACAUUUAUUGCAUAGUCAAACCAUGGAUCCAAAGAAACAAAUCAAUAAGCCAAAUCAAGAUGUGCAUGUGUGGCGAAUGAAUGGUGUAUGGUGAUGAUGGAGAUAACAAUGGUGAAAGUCUAAUUCUACUUUUGCUCUUUUAAGGGGAUACAUACCUUUCUUGCACUUAGAAGCUUUUUUUUUGGGGAGAAUGAGAUGCUCUAUAUUUUCUUUUUCUUUCCUCUCAGGUGGGUAUCUUGUACCCCUAAUUCUACUGUCGGACACUUGUCCAUUUUUACCUCUCGUCUCACUUUUUCUUUUCUUCGAGGUUCCGGGCACUUGCCCCUUUUUAUUUCCUCGUAUAUUAUUAUAUUUUUUUUUCUUCUUCUUUUUUUUAGAGCACUCAUCUCCUGAAAUAAUAUAGCAAGUGGUAGUAACCAAGAUAACUUGAGCAUUUAUUUCACAGGGAAUAACAGGGAUAGGAAAAUAUUUUUGGCUAUUCUCUCCCGGAUUAGGAGUAGAAUAAUUUUUGAGUGAAUGUGGAGAUGGAAAUGAGUGGAUAUAUGUGGAUGGUACUUCCGGAGUAGAAGUAGCAUGUAUGAGUGAACGUGCAAGUGAAUCUUGAUUUAACCACAUGACAAGCUUCUAAGGGUCUACACAGCUUGACCACACUCAAUGCUCAUAAGCAGUAAAUAAUAAAUGUGUGGCUCAAAGUCUAGCAAGCAUGUAUAUAUGGUUGUGGUAGGAAUUUUCAACUCUCAUCAUACAGGAACUCGUCAUGUAAUAUUUUAAAGAUUUUCAAAGAUAAAAUUCUCCAGAAUUCUAGCAUCUCUAGGAACAGAUAAACAGCAGCUCAACCUUCCCAUAUCUUAUCCGUUAACAACUUAGAUUUCAGAUCAAGUUUUCAUCCCACAAGUUUAGAUCUAGAGCAAGCUUUAAAUUAUAACAGUUAUGUCUAAACUUGAGAGAGAACUUUAAAUUUGCAAAUUAGGCAGAGCAACUAUUCAUCAUAUCCAUGCUAGAGUUUUAUUAUUAAGAUUCAUAGCAAACUUUAUUUAUUUAUUUAUUUAGCAAACUAAGAAAAGAUAUAUAUAUAUAUAAUCAUAAAAUCUUUAUUUGGUUUUUUAUAGUUUAUGUAUUUUAAAAUUCUAAUAUAAUAUAAGUAUAAAGAUAGGUAGAAAUACUUAGCGAGAUAAAUAGGGGUACUCUCUCCCAAGCUGAAUUUUGACGUAAUUUCUCUUGAUGUAGCUAGCAGGUGGCAGAGGUGUAUUUGAAAGUCAGCAGCAUUCUGACAGCGAUUAGAAUGUCCUCCGUCUGCUAGUCUUCUUAAAUUCUGUGGAGCUCAAAUAGACAACAAAGCUUGUGGAACUAAUUAAGUGUUAGCAUAAAUAUCUAGCCUUUAUCAUGUUGAGCCUCCUCAAUAAAUGUUACUUAUUUAGCAGGAUCAUGCACUUAUUAUUUUUAUAUUUUUAUUGUAAGAUGAAAACAUAUUUAUUUUAUUUUUUUUAUGCCACCACAGUGAAUGUCCUUAUGGGUUUUAUGCCAUGAGCAUACUCACAUGGGGCUUACUAUUUUUUUUAAUAUUUUUAUUUUCUUUUCAAGAUAGCAUGAACCUGAUUAACUAAGCAAACUAUAAUUGAAUAAUUGAAAGGAAAAGGAUAAUUACCAGGUUUACCUCUUGGCAAGGCGUUCGGUGUUUUUAAGUCCUCCGAACGGGACUCCUUGUGUCUUCAGUCGUCCUGGGAUUCGCUAGGUGGCGUAGUCGGUGGUUCCGGCGGCGCCUCUUCUUCGUGUAUAACUAUCUUCUCUCUCCACACCUGACUCCGUGCUACGGUCUCCUCAGGAUAGUUGUAUUCAAGCUGUAUGUCUUCAGACCUUAUCACUUCUCCUUCGUAGUCUACCCAUCCGUCUUUGAUGAUCUGCCUCCUCUGGUUGCGGUUGCGUUGUCUUCUUCUUGUCCUGACCUGCUUAGAAUCUUCAACUAUAUAGUUAGAAUCAUUAAAGUAGUGGCGUACCUUCUCAGAGGGGAAGUGCAUGUGGACUUCUCCAGUUCCAAUAUAGAUGAUGGCUUUGAUAGUGCUGAGGAACUGUCUUCCAAGGACGGUGGGUGGAUCAUACUCGUCUUCUCCCAUGACCUGAAAAUCAUCUAUAGCUGAAUGUAGGGGCAUGGUUUCAUGCAGGAGCUGAUAAGUGACUACGGCCAUUAUGUUGACAUCAGAUCCAGUGUCGUAGAGUGUCUUCUGAAAAGAGUAUCUGUUGAUUGUGCAUUCGAUGCUUGGAACACCAGGGUCGUCCUUCUUGAUUAGGAAAGGCGACUUGAGUCGACGAUCUUGACCUCCUUGAGCUGCAGUGACCAUCUUAGCUGACUCGGUCCACAUUUGCUUGUUCCUGUUCCUCCUGUUGGUCCUCUCCCUUGGUUCAUGUCGGGAUUGCUCUGAAGUUUGUGUAGUCUUGUUCUUGAAGGAAAAUCUCCUUCUUCCCCUUGAUGUAGAGACUGAUCUUGGCAGCAUUAGCGUAGAUGACACUUCUGGUGUUUAGGAAGGGCCUCCCUAAGAUGAUGGGUGCCCUCUCCUCAGUGCCAGUCUCUAUCACCACAAAGUUUGCUGGAGUGUACAAGGUACCAACUCGGACACAGAGGUUCUUCAAUAUUUCCUUUGGGAAACUAAGUGUCUGAUCUCCAUUGUGUUUGUGCUCGUAGAUCCUGGUUCUUCACUUGAUGGAAUCUGGGAGUUGUAAAACGCCUUCACAUUUCUCAAAAUGUGUCCUGCUCAUAGAGACAAGGCAGAGAUCAAGUGCAUGGGCCCUGUUGGUGGAAAACACCAACAGAACCAAAAGUGUAUUUGUUCUUCUCUAACCUUAAGCAUAGUGAGCAAGACAAAGUUGAUGGAUCAUGAGUGUAGCAUUUAAAACAUUUGUUAGAUCAGAUGGCUCAACCUAAUGGAAAGAUAAUCUAUCUAUAUUUAUGUUUUGUUUAUAUCUUCCAAAGAUUGAAUGUGCAACACUUUAGCUUAUAUGAUUAGGAGUGUGGGAUCACGAAGGUAGUACUAAGAACAAAGAUUAAAGGACUAAUCAUAUUGAAUUAAUUGGGUUGAUUAAUUUGGAGCUACAAAUCAUACAUGUUUGUCUCUUUAUUUUAUGUGAACGCUAGAACCAAGGAGAAGCUUAUAAAAGUGAUAGUCAAGUACCUUAAAAUGUUACCUUACUUGAAGAGUGACGGUACAGUAUCACCUUGUGAAAGCUUUCCUUUCUUAGCGGUUGUGCAUCGUGUUUGUGGCACCCUCCAUGGAUCAUCUCUUUAUGAUGAAUGAGCUAUGUCCUUCUUGUGCAAAUUGUUAAACUUCAUGUGUCUCCUUUAUCUCCAAUGAGUUUGUAUCUCAGGACUUCCCAGGUUGAUAUUGAAAGUUUUCCUGCAGGGGUUAGUCCAACAAAAUAUCCCAUACCUACUAUAGCAUACUAUCGGCUCAAAAAUCAACCUAGACACCAUGUCUAAUUUGAUUUAGGAGGGCAUUUUAACCUAAGCACCAUGCUUAAUUUAAAAAAAUCCUUUGGAAGUAAGAUCAUCAUUCCUAAACUAAGCACCAUGCUUGAUUUAAGAGAUAAAUGAAACUACUCCAAACCUAGACAUAUACUAAAGCAAAUAAAGGUAGCAUGAGAGCAUUUAUAGCGAUCUACUCAAAUGGAGGUGAAGUAGUGUAAUUAGUACUUAACAAAUUGAGCAUCUCUCAAAGGUAGGGACAACCAACAUAGCAACAUGGCAAAGGAUGUUUUUAUGUAAAGUACUCCCCCAAGCUCGAAUUUUGCAAAAUUCAAGUUUGGAUGAAUUUAAUUUAAUGUUGCAUGAUGAUUGGUUGGGCAUACCUUGCGCUCGUCAUUCAUCCGAUCUUCUUGCUCCAAUCCUAGAAAGGUUAGUGGCAAGAAUACCCGAAGGAAUAUUUCUACAAUUAUCUUUAUAUGCUCAAUAUACAAGGCAAUGUUGCAAAUAAUUAGAAGUGCUUGUUUUAGGACACUAAGCUUGUCCUUGGGGAACCAUCAAUUAACUCAACGAGAUCUGCAAUAUUUAUUAUAGACAUACGCAUCGACAACCGCCCUUUUAAAGUUUUUAUAAAUAGAAAAGAAGAGGGGGUUGGAGAUCUCAAAUGUGGUAAGGAUGGAGAGACUAAUUGAUUGGAGAGAUGUUUUAUAUGAGCAAGGACUGGGUAAGGUAUUUAUGAAAUAACUUCCAUGCUCACUGUUGUUUCUCUCAUUCUCAAGCUCCAAGGAUGAUUCUUCAUGAAUGCUAAAAAUUCCUCUAGGAUUGUCUCUCAAGUUUGUUUUAUCUAUCAAUUCAAUGGUGAUAGCACAUGGAUUUUUAAUGCCCUUUAGCCAUUGAUGUUGCCCUUCUCGAUCCUCCUUCUUAUGCAUGGGAUGUCUAGAGAGAUUCAUAUGAUUAUCGGGAGGUUUAAGAGAAAGAGCAUAGUAGAAUUUAUUAAGCUCAAGGAAGGUGUGGAUAGCCGAAUUAUGGGUUUGAAAUGUUUGGAAAUUGGCUAUUAAAACUUCCUUUCCUUGUCUGGGAGAUGAUUCCUUCUCUAUUUCUAAGAUUUUUCUAUGAAGACUAGUACAAGAAGGAUGUCCACGAAUGAAGACAUACCUUCCUUUACUAAUAGAUAAAGAAAGAAGGACUCUACCAAAGGUUAUAUGAUUAAGACCAAUGUGAAAAUAUUUAGGAAAAACAUGGUCUUGUAGGGCUAGGUCUAAACCAGAAUUUAUAAAAAGAUUAACAGAUUCCCUAGGUGUAGCUAAAAGUGCAUUAUCUUCUUGAUUAAAAGAUAGGACCUCGGCUAUAGAAAAGGGUUGGUUUUGACCUAUUGCAAUCAACUCCGGACACAGAUCAUAAUUAGGGGCAGGACGUGUUGACUCCCAUGGUCUAUGGCUGGUCUCCGAAGGUGCAAAGAAUUCAAUAAUAGGUAUGGAAUUUAAGUUAUCCAUAAAGAUAAAAAUAAAAAGAUAACAGAAUAAAAGUAUAAAAGUAUAAUACAAGAUAAUAGCAAGACUCAAAGUUAUCUCAGCAAAUCGUCUUUCUCCCCGGCAACGGCGCCAGAAAUGCUUGUUGAUAUUUGGUAACGCAAUUAGAAAAUGAUCCGCAAGCGCACGGAUAUCGGUGAGCAUUUCACCCGGGAGGUUAUCCAGAGUUAUCGUAUUUAUAUUUUUACCUCUGGGAGAAAGGGUGCAUCUGACUAACCAAAUCUAUUGCUACUAUCCCUUUAGGCUACAAAGAAUGUCUCUCGAUGUGAGUGAUGUAUAGAGAAGACUGCAACCGUAGUCUCGUUCUAACCUUGGUAAGGAUGAUCUACUGUUCUAUUUGGGAGGCUCACGGAAUCUAGACAACACAAAGGAUGUUCGACCCGCACCUAUAAACCUACCCGUCCUGCUAACGAGAUGUGAUCUGCAAAGGUAACUCGGAAAUGUCACGUUCCUCGCUACUACCACGGUCCAGCUAGUCAGGGGAUAUCUAUGAGUACCCUAGCCUAAACACCACGUUUACGCUAGCAAGUGAUUACUCUAAUACUCAACCGGAAGAGGAUUAAAGUAAACUCAUAAACCAAAGAACAAUAAAACAAGAACUUACUAGCAUUAGAAGUCGAAUUACUGAAGAAUCUUAGAAGGAAGCCUCGGGUUAGGAGACUUGAUCCCGUAGGUACAACUCGGGGUAGACACCGACAGGCCGGCCUUCCUCCAAUCCACACCUCCACUCUAUCUCUCUCAAUCUAGUAGAAACUAGAAGAUCUAUUUCUACUUUACAUUGGUUGCUAAGCCUAAAAAGAAAUAUUAUUUAGAGAAGAGGUUUUCCUUCGAUGACACCCCUCAAUCUCUAUGAUAAUUUCUUGUCUCCUCCAGGGGCCAGAGGGGGUCUACUUAUAUAGUCCUCCCCUUCUAUGCGUUUUUGGGUCGAUAGGCGAGGUGGUACUAUGUUUUCCUUGAUCCAAUAGGUCGGUGGAACAUCCCGAGCGAAAGAGUCCUGAUUUGGCUCCAACAGGGGGGCGGGCGCCCAGGCUACCAGGGCGGGCGCCCUGGGCCUGGCCCAGUUUCGCCUCCGCUUCGGUCUCGUGGCUUCUGGAGUCUUCUAGAUGAUGUAAAAUCGUGCGGUGCGUUGAUAUCUCUAUGUAAUCCCGACAUGUGGGCCUUUCUUCCUUAUUUCCUGAUAACCAUUGCAGAAAUAGACAAACACCAAAACUCGUGGAAUUCUGUCAGAUAAAACCCUAAGUCUAGAUGUUGAUUUCAUUUGGAUCCUUUUCUUUGUUUAUUUGAUAAUUAGAUUUGAUACUUAAGGACCGUCAACAGCGGGUAGACGCCUGGGGCGACUACCUUGUCGGGGUGGUCCUGUCGAUCGAAAGUGAUGGGUGUGCUUGACCAGCUAAGGUACUGGGGCACCGCCAUUCUUGCCGCGAAGACCUCACGACGCUCCCUUUUGCGCUGCCUCGUGGUUAACUGAGUCGAGAGCCCGCCAUAGAUCAUGUAGCAGUCGUGGAUGGCGGGGAAGCCGUCGUCAUCUUUGUUGUCCUCCUUGUUGCCACCCUUCUCUUUCUUGGGGUCGUCACGCGCAUCUUUCUUGAACCCUAGACCGUCAAAAUGCUUUUUCAGCAUACGACAGUCCUUGAGCUUGUGGUUGGCGCCUCCCUUAUGAUAAGGGCACGGCUCCUCCAGCAUCUUGUCGAAGAUGCCUCCAUCUGGAGGGCCUCGAGGUUUCUUUCGAUCCAUGGCGGCAACAAGAUUGUCAUCGGAAUCCUCCCGGUGGAAAUGCCGUGCUUUCUGCUUCUUUUUAUUUUUCUUGAGGCCUCGACUGGGGGUCCCAUCUUCAUCGAUGGGCUGCUUGCCUUUUCUUCCUUCAGAGCUGAAGAAGGCACCGACUGCCUCCUCCCCUGCCGCGUAGUUGGCUACUACGUCCAUCAGCUCGUCGACGGUCUGAGGUCGAUUGCGACCUAAUUCCCGCACCAAGUCUCGACUGGUGGUGCCCGAGACAAACGCCAAGAUGACGUCGUGGUCCGAGAUGUGCGGCAGCUCGGUGCACUGCUUUGAGAAGCGUCGAGCAUACUCUCGAAGAGUUUCUCCUGACUUCUGUUUGCACUUGCUGAGGUCCCACGAGUUCCCGGGCCGUAUGUAGGUUCCUUUGAAAUUACCCUCGAAAACUUUUACCAAGUCGACCCAGUCGUGAAUCUGAUUUGCUGGAAGCUCUUCGAGCCAUCGACGGGCGGUGUCGGAGAGGAAGAGUGGUAGCUGUCUGAUGAUGGCUCGAUCAUCACCUCGAGCGCCACCUAGCUGACAAGCCAGCCUGAAAUCGGCCAGCCAUAACUCCGGUUUGGUCUCCCCAUUGUAUUUUGCGAUGCUGGUCGGGGGUCGGAAUGGACUGGGCAGGGGCGUGCUGCGGAUCGCCCUGCUGAACACCCGUGGGCCUGGAGGCUCGGGAGCCAUCCGGUCUUCGUCGCUGUCGUACCCCCACCGCGAUGCGCGCUGUAACCGCGCUCUUCCGCGUCUCCGUGCCGACGGCGUCGAUUCUCUUCGAUGUCAUGCCGUACAUCGUCUCGACGCAUAUUGUCGCCGGGGAGGACGAGCGCUGUCUUUCUUCCUUGAGGUGGCGGCAGUUGGUGGACCGAAACCUCUUUUUCAUUCUGAGGCGGUUCGUCGCGCUUUUCAGUGGCAGCUCCUCAUCGUCGAGAAGCUGAGCUUUCGGCUUGUUGAACUGCCGCCACCUGGAGCAGGGUCUGUACCUCGUCUCGAAUGCGUCGAGCUUGGGAGUUCGAUGGUUCUGGCAUGUUGUGCAGCAGCAUCGUUGCUGCCACUACGUUUUGGCCUGCUCGAGGGAAGCGGCUGACGGGCUGCUCUGGCUCUGCGUCUCCGACGAUUUGUCGAUGCACCUCUCGAGCACGUCUGCGAACGCUUCCGCCUGGUGGAUACGGCAAGUCUUGCUCAAGGAUUUGCUCAGGCAGGACGAGGCGCUCUCGGUCUUCGUCGAGCUUCAUCUUGAGCUCUCGUAGCUGCGCUAGCUGUGCAGCCUUGUCUUCUUGUGGAGGAGGGUCGACCUGUCCGUCGUUCCCAGGCGUCCUGGGGUCUUCUCGUGCCGCGGGGGCUCGACCGCCCGCAGCAGCAUCCCGCGUCUCGUCGGUAGUUUCUACCGCCCCGUCGAUGUGAUAGCAUUCCCUUGUAGGGUCGUAGCUAUCAGUCUCGGAGUCAGAGUCUGGUUCAGCGGCGUAGAAACAUCCACGUCCUUCCUCCAGCAGCCGUUGCCUGAGCGAGGUGAUCGUGUAUCGCCCAGGGCCUAGGCGGCGGAGGCCUCGCACCUGGGAGAGAUUCGGCAGUCCGGGCGUCGGCUGUGGUGCUCCUGACUCACGUGGGAGGACCAUUGGUCUUUCCACGUAUGUCUGGGCGUUUGGCCAUAUCGCCCUGGCGAGCGACGCCGCGGCGUUGUCCAAUCCGAAUGGCAGUGUCCUUCUUGGAAUGAACAACCCGUGUGGAAGCAGCCUAGCAGCGGUAGGGGAGAGUGCUCGAGAUGCGUCCCCUCUCGUUGUUGUGCGGUGCUGAGCCGUCGCGCUCGUUGCUUCGACACAUGGUGCUGCCGACUUGUGGCCUGCUUCCUGCUUCGCACGAGUUGUUGGUCGUGAUGAAGUAGAGGGGCCGCGGUGGUGCUGUCCGCGCCUCUUCUUAUGCAGGAAGGCGUGGUGGUGAGGGCGUCUCGGGGCCCUCAACCGUGCUGGCGCAACGCGGGCUCCUCCUGGUCCUCUGACUGAGAGCAAGAUCAUGUCGUAGCCGGAGCCCGUAGACAUGAACUCGAGACUCCCAAACCAAAUCACCGUGGAGCGCGGAAUCGGCGAGGCGAGAGUGGCCAUCUGGAAAGGAGUGGGAAAUCGAUGAAAAACACGCAGGACCCCUACCUGGCGCGCCAACUGUCGGUGUUUUCCCCACUGGGGGUCACACCAACGAGUAAAUUUGUAUGCGUGCUCCCUUUCCCAGAUGGUGAUGCAAGAAGACACAGAGAUUUAUCCUGGUUCGGGCAAGAGAAGGCCCUACGUCCAGCGGGGGGAGAGAGUUUGUAUUAUCUUGCACCUAAGUGCUUGUACAGGGGUGAAUACAAGCGUGGUAUGAAGUGUGGAAUUCUACUGCGUAUGAGCGUGGUGUUGUGUCGUGAUGUCUCUUAUGUUUUAUUCCUGAGUCCCUUCUUUUAUAGUUCCAAGGAGAGACCCAAGGUACAUGUAUAGGCGUCAGAAUAGGAGUCGAUAGCAGUAUGGAGCGCUGACCUACUCGAGGCUUCCGUACCGGCAUAGCCUCGAGCCGUCCCGUCUUAAUAGCCUAGUGAUGAUUACGCGUGCCCCUGCAUUCUGCUCUGUGCGCCGUCUUGGAUUGGUUUGGCGGAUGCACGCUUGUACGAUCCGGCGGCAAAUCCGGCGGAGUGGUUGGGAUGUAGUCAGUCGAGGCCCAACCCGUCCCCUGGAAGGAUUCCUGUCUGGUCGAGGUUCGGAUGCCGUACAUUGUGCUGAUAUCCGGAGCGCUGACUUUAGACGUCUCGAGGGGGUCCCGAUUAGACAUCCCAUCCUUGUUUCCCGCGCCCUGUCAUGCCCUGGGUCGUUCGGCGGGAACGCUGCAAAAAGAUCGAUGGGACGGAAGCCUGUUCCCUAUCACGCCUCCCGUGAUCUGUGUGUUAGGUGGGGAAGCAUCAGGCGCAUUUAAUGCCCCGGCCCGCGUGCGCGCGUCAGGCGGCGGGUGGCGUCCUUGCGCUCGACGCCCCCCGGUUCGCGUGAGCCUGUUCCGUAUUCGACGGUAACUGGCGCUCGACGCCUGAUCGAUUCGCUCGACGCUAUUUCCGUCCUCGAGGUCGCGGCCGUCGAUGGCAGCGCAUACGUAAGACUAGAGCGUCGAAUUGAAAGCCUUGACCUGCGUACGGGUAAUCUCAUAAUGCACAUCUGUGAGGGUACCCCUUUCUGAUACCCUCAACAAUGAUAAACUAAGAACAAUAUAAUCUUGAAUAUAAGCAAGUAGAGCAAAGUUGAAAUAGAACAAAGUCAUAUUCAUAAUAUUGAAGAACAAAGAUAAUUAGAAAGCAAUUAGAAGCACAAUUAGAGAAUUACCAAGAAUCCUCCUGACAGAUCCGGAAACCAAUCGAAGAUUGACUCCUUCUAGUUCUAAUCCUAUGUAGCUAUGCUAAUCUAGAUAUCUAAUUGAUGUGGUGGCUCUAAUCUUGAUCAGAGGCUUCUUCUCCCUUGAUGGAACAAUGAAUUAGGGUUGAGAGGCUCUCUCCUCCAGGGGCCAGGGGGUCUGGUUUUAUAGUCCCUCCAAGUGAAUACGGGCCGUUGGAUCAAACCGACAUAGAUUGUAUGGUUUAGAUUCAUCCUUUAGGUCGGUGGAGAUUUCCCGCGAAGCAGAGUCCUGAUUGGACUACUGGAGAGGACGGGCGCCUAGGGGAACAGGGCGGGCGCCCUGCCUCUGGCCCCGUUUCGCCUCCGCUUCGGUCUCGUGGCUUCUGGAGUCUUCUAGAUGUAAGAUAAUUGCGCAGCACGUUAAUAUCUCUAUGUAAUCCCGACGUGUGGGCCUUUCUUCCGUAUUUUCUGAUAACCCCCUGCAGAAAUAGACAAACACCAAAACUCGUGGAAUUCUAUCAGAUAAAACCCUAAGUCUAGAUGUUGAUUUCAUUUGGAUCCUUUUCUUUAUUUAUUUGAUAAUUAAAUUUGAUACUUAAGGACCGUCAACAUGCAACACAUUCACCAUAUCAGGAGUCCCCAAAGAUGCUAUACUACUUUGCCUCUUCCCAUUCUCACUGUUAGGAAGGGCGAAGCAGUGGUUCUACGCUACAAAGGAGAAGAAUAUUACAUGGGCACUGUGCUCCACGAACUUUCUGGCUAAGUUCUUUCCCAUGGGCAAGACCAAUGCUCUCCGUGGGAAAAUUACAAGAUUUCAGCAACAACAUGAUGAAUUUGUUCCAGAAGCAUGGGAGCGAUUCCAAGACUACAUCCUAGAAUGUCUCCAUCAUGGAAUGGAGAGCUCGCAACUGAUGCAGACGUUUUAUCAUGGGCUUGGCAAUAGUGCCCGGGAGACCAUGGAUGCUGGAGCUGGAGGAGCAUUCCUAUCACUCACCAUAUCACAAGCCACAACUCUUGUGGAGAAGAUGGCGUCUAACCAAAGCUGGAAUGAAGAAAGGACCCAGACACGCAAGAGAGGUGGAGGUAUACAUCAGCUCAAGGAGGUAGACAUGUUGUCUGCAAAGCUAGACCUGCUCAUGAAGAAGCUCGAUGAUAGAGCUAGAGACAAGAAAGAAGUUAUGCACAUCUACAACUCUCACAUGACUUGUGAGGAGUCUAGAAAUACUAGACACUCAGGCAAUCACUGCCCUGAGAUACUUGAGGAUGUGAACUACAUCAACAAUAACAACAACAACUACUACAACCGUCCUCAACAAAAUCAAGUUUGGAACCAACAGAGGCCUACUUACUCAGGUAAUUAUCAAGGUAAUAAUUCUUACAACAAUAAUAAUAAUUUUUUACCUCUGAGAGAGUUAGUGUCUAAUCAAGGAAAGCUAAUGGAUAACUUAUCUAAGAAAUUGGCAUCAAAUGAUAAAAUGUUAGAAAAUAUAAAUAAUAGAAUGGAUAAUUUCUCUACUACCAUCAAGAAUCAAUUUAGCUUUAAUAAGAUGAUUGAAUCUCAGUUAAAUCAAAUAGCUGCUGCUAUUCCUGCUACUAACCCCGGUAUACCAUCACAACCGGAAGGAUUAGAAUCUGCAAAUCCUGUAGACAUGUUUGAAGCAGGUAAAUACUGGAGCAACCCCGUCACUGAAGUUACUACUGACCUUCUGCCGGUCAAGAGAGGCGAUCCAGGACGCCCCGUCAUCCCGAUCUCCAUCGGCGUAGUGGACUUCCCAGAAGCACUCUGUGACUUUGGCUCUAGUGUCAACAUUAUGCCCAGGGUACUCUAUGAAAAAUUCUUUACAUAUCCUUUAUUAGAAACAACCAUGUGUUUGCAGUUUGCAGAUCAGACAUUAAGUUUCCCAAAGGGAAUAUUGAAGAACUUUUGUGUCCGAGUUGGUACCUUGUACGCCCCAGCAGACUUCGUGGUGGUAGAAACCGGUAAUGUUGAGAGGGCACCCAUCAUCUUAGGGAGGCCAUUCUUAAACACCUCGGAAGCUGUCAUCUACGCUAGUGCUGCCAAGAUUAGUUUCUACAUCAAAGUGAGGAAGGAGACAUUUUCUUUCAAGAACAAGACUACACAAAUCCCAGAGCAAUCCCGACAUGAACCAAGGAAGAGGACCAACAGGAGGAACAGGAACAAGCAAGUGUGGACCGAGUCAGCUAAGAUGGUCACUGCAGUUCAAGGAGGUCAAGAUCAUCGACUUAAGUCACCGUUUCUAACCAAGAAGGAGGACCCAGGAAUGCCAAGCAUAUAUUGCUCCAUAAAUGGAUACAACUUCUACAAGACAACUUGCAACACUGGAUCGGGCGGCAACAUAAUGGCUGCAGUCACCUAUCGGCUCUUGUUCGGAACCAUGCCCUUAAAACCAAUAUACAUUCAGCUCCAGAUGGCAGAUCAGACAUUUCGAGAGGUUGAAGGUAUAGUAAUGGAUGUCCCUGUCAAAAUAGACAAUCAUUUUGUCUAUACAGACUUUCAGGUUAUUGACAUGGGAGAAGACGAAUACGAUCCACCCAUCAUCCUUGGAAGACCGUUCCUCAGCACCGUUAAAGAAAUAAUCUACAUUGGAACUGGAGAAGUCCAUAUGCACUUCCACUCAGAGAAGGUACGCCGCUAUUUUACUGACCCUAAUUAUAUCGUUGAAGACUCUAAGCAGGUUAGGACAGGAAGAAGAUGACGCAACCGCAACCAGAGGAGGCAGAUUAUCAAGGACGGAUGGACAAAUUAUGAAGGAGAAGUGGUAAGGUCUGAAGACAUACAGCUUGAACAGAAUUAUUCUGAGGAGACCGUAGCACCAAGUCAGGUGUGGAGAGAGAAGAUAACUAUACACGAAGAAGAGGCGCCGCCGGAAGCACCGACUACGCCACCCAACGAAUCCCAGGACAACUAGAAAACAGAGAGUCCCGUUCAGUGGACUUAAAAACACCGAACGCCUAGCCAAGAGGUAAACUUGGUAGUUAUCCUUUCCCUUUCAACUAUUUUAAACAGUUUGCUUAGUUAAUCAUGUUCAUACCAUCCUAAAAAGUAAAUAAAAAUGCUAAAAAACAGUAAGUCCCAUGUGAGUAUACGAGUGGCAUGAAACCCAUAAGGACAUUCACUGUGGUGGCAUAAAAAUAAAAUAAAUAUUUUUUCUGCUCUAUGAAAUGAAAAUAUAAAAAUAGAGAGUAACAUUUAUUGAGGAGGCUCAACAUGAUAAAGGCUAGAUAUUUAUGCUAACACUUAAUCAGUUCCACAAAGCUUUGUUGUCUAUUUGAGCUCCAUAGAAUUUAAGAAUCAAGAAGACUAGCAGACGGUGGACAUCCUAAUCACUGUCAAGGUACUGCCGACUUUCAAAUACACCUCUGCCACCUGCUAGCUACAUCAGAAGAAAUUACGUCAAAAUUCAGCUUGGGGGAGAGCACCCCCAUUUAUCCAGCUAAGUAUUUCUAUCUAUCUUUAUACUUAUACUAUUUUAAAAUAUAACUAUACAUAACUAUGAAAAACCAAAUAAAGAUUUUGUGCUUAUAUAUAUAUAUAUACAUAUAUCUUUUGCUUAGUGUGCUGAAUAAAUAAAUAAAGUGGCUAUGCUAAACUGAAUCUAAAUAAAACUCUAGCAUGGAUAUGUUGAAUAGUUGCUCUGCCUAAUUUUUAAAAUUUGAAGUUCUCUCUCAAGUUUAGACAUAACUGUUAUAAUUUAAAGUUUGCUCUAAACCUGAACUUGUGGGAAGAGAACUUAAUCUGAAGUCUAAGUUGUUAACGGAUAUGAUACGGGAAGGUUGAGCUGCUAUUUAUCUGUUCGUAGAGAUGCUAGAAUUCUGGAGAACGUUGUAUUUGAAAAUCUUUAAAAUAAUACAUGAUGAGUUCCUGUAUGAUGAGAGUUUAAAUUCCUACCACAGCCAUAUAUACAUGCUUGCUAGACUUUGAGCCACACAUUUACUUUUUUACUGCUUAUGAGCAUUGAGUGUGGUCAAGCUGUGUAGACCCUUAGGAGCUUGUGAUGUGGUUAAAUCAAGAUUCACUUGCACGUUCACUCACACAUGCUGCUUCUACUCCGGAAGUACGCAUCCACAUAUAUCCACCCAUUUCCAUCUCCAGAACCACCCAAAAAUAUUCUACUCCUAAUCCGGGAGAGAACGGCCAAAAAUAUAUCUGUUUUCCCUUGUAAAAUAAAUGCUCAAGUUAUCUUCGUUACUACCACUUGCUAUAUUAUUUCAGGAGAUGAGUGUUCUAAAAAAAAGAAGAUAUGAGGAAAUAAAAAUAGGCAAGUGCCCGGAACCUCGAAAGAAAAGAAAAGGUGAGACGAGAGGUAAAAAUGGACAAGUGUCCGAUAGUAGAAUUAGGGGUACAAGAUACCCACCUGAGAGGAAAGAAAAAGAAAAAUAUAGAGUAUCUCAUUCUCCUCAAAAAGUUUCAAAGAGCAAGGAAGGUAUGUAUCCCCUCAAAGAGCAAAAGUAGAAUUAGACUUUCACCAUUGCUAUCACCAUCAUCACCAUACGCCAUUCAUUCGCCACACAUGCAUAUCUUGAUUUGACUUAUUGAUUUGUUUCUUUGGAUCCGUGGUUUGACUAUACAAUAAAUGUCCUGUGAGUAUGUAUACUUUAUCUCCCACCUAUGAGCUCUAGAUAUUAAAGCCUUAUUAGAGUAGGGUGAGAGAGAAGGCAAUGUCACUAUGCUUUAUACCACAAAUACUACAUAUUUUGAGUGAAGGCAUAUACCAUCACUACCUUGGUAAGGAUCCAGAAAUACCACAAAAGAAGUCAUACAAGGAAUCUCUGAGUUUUAUUUGAAAAUCUACAAAAACUCCAGAGCUAUAGUUGAUCAAGAAUAAGAGAUAUGGCACUUGACUAGCACUACAAGAAACAUUGUAAUCUAUGACGAAUUCUUUGUGACGAAUUUAGAGAACGUCGCUAACAAUACAGACUCGCGUAUAUCAUGGUGGAUAUCCAACCCAUAGCCCAGUUCAGACUCGCGUAUAUAAUGCAGCUCCAAAACCUAAUCCCACCCCUUCUCGGUACUUCUGUCACCAGCCGCCGCCCCACACCAAACCAUCCCAGCUGCUGACCACACGCAUCCCACAUGGUUCAGUGGCCGCCUCCACCCCACCCCAUUGGAGCACGCCGAGUUGCCAAGUCCAGCGCAUGCAUGUAGAGGACGACGGUGGCAGCACCCAAACCUAGUUGUCGCCCUGACGAUUGAGCCAUUCGGGAAGCUAUCUGCGCCUGCAUCCAGAUCUGGCGUCCUCGCGCUGCCACCGCUACCUACUAUCCCCGACGUGGAUUGGAGAUCCUGCUAGGGCCUAAUUGCUCCUCCUCCUUCCCUGGUAAGAAAGCCUUUGCUUUGUUUGGCCGUGAUGCUGGAUUACUUGCUUUGUCCUGGAAGAAGAAUCCAAUCCGUCCAGAUAGUUGCAGUGUGGAAUCCUGUGCUAUGUGCGUCCGUAGUUUUUGAAGUUUUUAGAGCCCUAUGUGCCUUUAGCUUUGGAUCCAUUGCAGGCAGCCCCAAUCUAUCGUGGAUGUCACGGAUCUGCAAUGUUCUGAAUUUUCUAGGAUCCAGUGCAACUCCAAUCCAUCAUGGAUGUGCAGGAUCUGAAUUUUUCUUGAUAGUAACUAGUAUGAGCAAAUUUGUAUCCAAUGAAAUCGUUCUCUAGCUGAUAAAUGACACUUGGACAUCAGGACUUAUUUUUAGAUAGCUUGUUCUACUUUCUGUGCUCAUUUUUUCCUUGCAAACACUUGAUAAAUAUAUCCCAUGGCUAAAUGAGUUGCCUGCAGUGACUCGAUAUCUCCAAUUUGGUGGAUGUAAGUUUCUGUUGGUUUGCAGGAGCACUGGAUGAACAUGCUUUCUGCGUUCUCUAAUUGGCAGCACAUUAACUGAAUGAAGGGUUUGUGCAGAUUAUUCAUUGGACUCUGCUCCACUCUGGUACUAAUAAUUUCGACUAUUGCUCAUACUAUUUGCCAUGGUCAUCUUUCCAUUCUUUAUGCUAUAGUGCUAAUCUACAAUUAGCCUAUACAAAAAAUAAAGCAUCCUUUCACUAGAAUUUUUCUAGAUAAAUGCAAGUGCUUUUUGAUUAAUAGUAUCUAGUUAUUGAGCUCCUUUGGUGGACUGUUUGUCUGUUGAUUAUUUUGUAGGAUACAAUACUAUGGUCCAUUGAUUAUUAUUUUCUAGGAUACAGUACUAUGGUCCAUUGAUUAUUAGUAAGUCCUGUUUAUUUCUAGAAUUCACUUAUUGAUUAAGUUGCCUCUAUGUAACGGACUUUCAUCUUUUUGGAUAAUUCUCUCUUUUAAGUCUUGUUUUUUCUAGCAUGACAAGGCAAUUGUGCCAAACCAACUCGAAAUAACAGCUACAAGGUUGGAGGGGACCGAAUUGUUGCUAGGAUGGAGGAGACAAAACAGUUACAUGGUUGGAGGCGAUAAAUAUGUCGAUAUGGUUGUAUGAAUAUUAUUAGUUGUAUAAAUUGCUACAUGGAUGGCGAUAAAUAUGUCGAUAUUGGUUGUAUGAAUAUUAUUAGUUGUAUAAAUUAGUAUUGUUUUAAAUCUCUUUGUCAUCUAUGUGUAAAUAGGCGUACUUUUUGUAUAUAUAAACAUAUUUGACUAAAUGGUUUGUAAAUAUGAUUUGAUCUAUUUGGGAAUGCCAAAAAAUAUCAGCAUAUUUAUAUUGACCAUUGGCCCAUUAAUAAAUGGGAUAUGAUUCAUAAAAAAAAGGCCGAAAUGGUGUUGUAAGCAUCCACGUCAUUGUCCACAUAAGCAUUCAUGAUGACAUGUCAAUUCAUCCAUGACGGUUAUUUUUUGUCACAGAAAAUGGACUUGGGUUGGGCUAACUGGGCUUUGGGCUCAACUGUGACGGUCUUAAACCGUCAUAGAUUACAUCAAUCUGUGACGAUUUUUGAAAAACCGUCAUGAGGGUCAAUCCAUGACGAUAUUAAAAACCGUCAUAGAUAUUGAAUUGUGACGGUUUUUUAGCGAUCUAUGACGAAAAUUUUCCGUCAUGAAUUAACAUGAUUCUUGUAGUGUAGACUGUUCUAUCUUUUAACUACUCAAGACAGAAGUGACGGUUACAAGUCCCAUGGUAAAAGGUAAAAUAAGUACGUUUUAAGUCUUGAUAGUUUACUCUAACUCAGAAAUGAGACCUCAUUUAAAAGCAUGUGUACCGUCAAUUUUUGAAGGUGUUAUAGCAACUUCUGAUCCAUCACUGAGAUUAUCCUUUCUUAGGGACGAGCAAGAGGUAAGAUUGGGGGAGUUUGUUGAUGGUCCUUAAGUAUCAAAUUUAAUUAACAAAUAAGCAAAGAAAAGGAUCUAAAUGCAACCUACAUCCUGACUUAGGGUUUUAUCUGACAGAAUUCCACGAGUUUUGGUGUUUGUCUAUUUCUAUAGGGGGUUAUCAGGAAAUACGGAAGAAAGGCCCACACGUCGGGUUUACAUAGAGAUAUCAACGUGCCGCGCAAUUAUCUUACAUCUAGAAGAGUCCAAAAGCCACGGGAACGAACAGGAGACCGGACGGGCUCGGGGGCGGGGCGCCCGCCCUCCCCCCUAGGGCGCCCGCCAUGGCUUUUCCACCAAUCAUGGCCAAUCUCACAGAUCAUGCUCCACCAACCUAAAGGAACAAGGAUAAUCGUUCAAUCAACGUCGGUUUGAUCCUACGUCCCAUAUUCACUUGGAAGGACUAUAUAACCAGACCCCCUAGCCCAAGGAGGAGAGCACCUCUCAACCCUAAUUCAUUAUUCAUCAGGGAGAAGAAGUCUCUGAUCAAGCCCUAGAGCCACCACAUCAAUUAGAUCUCUAGAUUAGCAUAACUACAUAGGAUUAGAACUAGAAGGAGUCAAUCUUCGAUUGGUUUCCAGAUCUAUCAGGAGGAUUCUUGGUAAUUCUCUAUUGUUCUUCAAUUGUUCAUCUUUGUUCUUCAAUAUUAUGAAUAUGACUUUGUUCUACUUCAAUAUAUUGAUUAUGACUUUGCUCUACUUGUUUAUAUUCACAAUUAUAUUGUUCUUAGUUUAUCAUAGUUAUAUACUUGGCUUAGUUAGAUUGGAAUUAUAUACAUGUUUAGGAUCGUAUAGCGUUUAUCCAUCGGAUCUAUGGGUAAAUGAUAGAUAUUGUGUAGGCGUGGUGCUUAUACCGUAUUUAUCUGCGAUUGUACCCAAUAUGCCAGAUCGUGGGGUAGUUCGUGAUAGUGACAGCUUCAUUGAUUCUUAUAUAGUCCCCCUCUCGUGUAUUGGGCUGGCAGAGCAAUAUUAUUACAGGGGAGUGAUUACUAUGUUUCUCAUUUACCUUGCUAAUAUCACUAUGCAUGGGUGUAGUCUUGUCUCGCAAUGAUUGCUAAGUAUGCUUGCACUAAUUAUGAUAAUGGUAGACUAUAUAGUUGAGAAUAACUUAGGGAAUAUUCUUGUAGUUCGUUCUAAUACCAUGCUAAUGACUUUCUAGAGUAUCUAAUUAAGGUGCUUAUCAUAUUUAUUAUGUGGCUAGAUCAGAUUAAUUAUCCUUGUCACUAUUUAUUAUUUCAUAUAUCUUUUAUGUGACACUUAUCCCUGUAUGAAGAGUUAGAUAAAUGUUCUCAAUUAUACAUGCAAUGAUAGAUACUCAAUCUCAUAUUCUAUUCUAUUAUCAAUAUUGAUGAUUGUUAAUCCCUUUCCAGUGGUAAAAAUAUAAAUAACGAUACCUGGAAUACUUCUCGGUUAAAAUGCUGCAUCGGUAUUAAUCUGUGUGCUUGCAGAUCCCAUUCAUUAUUUAUUUAGAAGAGCAAUUGCAUAUUUCAAUACCGCGUCUCUCAUAUCAUGCUGGGGAUGACAACUUGGCUUAAGUGGUGUGAGGGAUAGGUUUGACAUUUUUGGCACCGUUACUAGAUUUAGAGAACUUAGUCUACUUUUGGUAAUGAUGUUAAGAAUACCCAACAAGCAUUUUUGGCGCCGUUGCCAGGGAAGGUUGAUUACUAAUCAGGAAUGGAAUAAAAGAUUUUGAGUUAUCAUUCGCACCACUAAUAUGAUUGAGCUUAUCUAUUCUCUCAUACAGUUUUACCCCGAUAUUUUUCUAUUUUAUCUUAUGCAGGGGAAUGUAUGAAUAAAAGACAUCUUCCAGGAAAUUUUGUUGACAAUUCCGAAGCAUUAUUUAAGAAGACGAGAGCCAAGCUCAAGAAGAGAUCAUCAACACUUCAGCAAGAAGCUUCAUCCAAUCAAGAAGAUCACAGGAACAUGUCUUCAGACUUCGAGGCCAUGGCGAACAAAUCAAUCCGCGAGUUCUCAGCUCCCACUACGGACAACAUCCGCAAUGGACCUUGUCGACGAAAGCUAGUCGGCAGUCUACCUUGGGGUAUACCCACGGUAGUAGUUUAUCGGUAGACGGUGCGCAAACUAGGAACUCGAUGGUGACGCAAGACACGGACAAGCUUUUUAUCCAGGUUCGGCCGCCGAGUUGGCGUAAUACCUACGUCCUGCGUCUUGUUGUAUUGGAUUGUGUUGAGAUAAUGUGUUCUAGGGGGGUCCCUUGCCCCUCCUUAUAUAGUCCGGAGGGCAGGGUUACAGAUCUGGAAACUAAUCCUAGUCGGUUACAAUUGCCAUGGAUAGUUCGAUAUCAAUUCCUAUUCUAACCGACUAGAAUCCUGCUUGAUCUCCACGUCUUGUUUCCUUGCGCGAAACUCCAGACAGUCGGAUCAAGCCUCGAGCUGUCCUCGUGAUGGGCCAAGCCUCCUGGCCCAAGUCUAGCCGUAAGGGUAUAGGGGUUUAUACCCCCACAGCUAGUCCCCGAGCACCAUGUAUUGUGAAGUAACACGCCGUCUUGAGCUUCUUCGACCAAUGAAACUUUAUAUCUUUAGUCAUUAUGAAAAUUGCCCAAAUAGUUGCGACAACAGUUUGAACAAAUCUAAAAGCAUCCAAUUAACUUCGUCAUCGAAGAAGCCAAUUGUUCAAAGAAUGCAUGGUGCUCUUGAGAAAAAAUAUUCCUUUUUUGGUGAAGUGUGCCCACUUUACUUUUCGAAAAGUAUAGUCCAUCAAAAAGACAAGCAAGUUCACCGCAAGGUGAAGUGUGCCCACUUAGUCCCCGAGCCUGGUAGGAGGUGACGUAGUCACGUGGUGCCAGGGUCCAAAGAAGAAUCUCCAAAGCUGCUUUGAAUGUGAGAUGCAUCGCUAGAUGCAUCGUACCGAUGUAGUCCCCGAGCUUGCUGGAAGGCGAAGUAUGAGCCUUGUAGCAAGGUCUAAAAAACCGAAAUUAUCCAGUCCCCGAGCAUCUCAUGCUCGUUUACCAUAGAGUUUGCAGUUCGUCGAGCUGGUCAACCAGUCCGCGGGUGUACAACGGUCGGCAAACAGUUCAGCUUGCUAAUUUCCAAAGCAAUAAACUAAGCGACCAGUCCCCGAGCAUUAAGCGCUCGGUGGUCGGAGCAGUCUAAACAAAUCUGACGACCAGUAUCCGAGCACCAAAUGCUCGUUGGUCAGUGCGCUCCUUGAAGUUCUGAGUUGCUUCACUGGACGACCAGUCCCCGAGCAUCGAGUGCUCGGUGGUCGGUGCAGUCGUUGAAUUUCCGGGUUAAUAGACUGGGCGACCAGUCCCCGAGCAUCAAGUGCUCGGUGGUCGGUGCAGUCGCUGAAUUUCCGAGUUAAUGGACUGGGCGACCAGUCCCCGAGCAUCAAGUGCUCGGUGGUCGGUGCAGUCCCCGGAUUGUUGACUCUCUGCCAUUUUUGUCUGCUUGUUUUGAAAAAAUUUCUCUAGAAAAAAGUUGACGUGACGAGACCUCCUGACGGGAUGUCAGAUGGAUGCAUGAAAAGUUGCGCCUGGCAACUGUACAGCCGCCCUUUGCGCGGUUUGAGAAAAGGAAACCAUCAAUUUGUACGAAAACUCCGCCGCAUUAAUUGUCGAUAAUCAUUGGAAACCGAAAUGCCGCAUCCACCGUAUGGCCCGCCCACUUCCCGAGAAUGCGGGAAGUGGGAAGGGUGAAGUUGUGGGUUAUAAGAGCUCGACAGUUCCCCUUGUACUGCUUACCCUGCCAUUGCCUUCAAGCCCUCCACUCUUGCCUCCUUCAAUCACCUACACCUUCCAAACUCGAAUCCACUUCCUCACCUCCAAUGGCGAAGAGCGACUCGAAGAAGAGGGCCGAGCUGAUGGCCAAGGAGUGGAAGAAAUCCCGCAGCACCGCAAAGUCCCUCGGUGACCUCGUCAAUAUGGGGCUACUGCACAGCCCGGAGCUCGGCGGCUGGAGGGGCACCGGAGGGGGAGAGCUACCCCGACCCCCGCGCCGGUGAGAUCGUGUUUGAGGAUUUCCUUAAGAGGGGUUUUGGGGUGCCUGUUCACCCUUUUCUUCAGGGUCUUCUUUUGUAUUAUGAGAUCGGGAUUUGCAAUCUGCACCCGAACUCAAUCCUUCUUGUUUCUACUUUUAUCCAUUUGUGCAAGGCCUAUGUAGGCAUAGAACCGCACUUCGAUCUCUUUCGCUAUCUUUUUUGUUUGAGAAAGAAGGGAGCAGUUGGAGGCUCUAAGGUUGCAGGUGGAGUAUACCUCAACCUUCGCGACGGAAUGAAGAACCGCUAUCUGCACUGCCCCUGGAACACUUCCCUGACUGAGUGGUACAGGAAGUGGUUCUACAUCAGGAAAGAACCGGGCAGCUCCACGUUCUGCGACGUGGGCUACAUCCCCGAGAAGAGGGUGAGCUGGACCGAUCGCCCGGAGUUCGACGGUCAGGUGGCAGACCUAAUGAAGCUGAUCGACUGGUCGCGCCUGGACGGGCUAGGCGUGGUCGGCAACUUUGUGUGCCGUCGGGUGACGUCCUGCCAGAAGAGGGUCCACUCGGCGUACGAGUAUGCCGGAAGCGUGGACCCGACCAGGAUGCGACCCGAGAUCUUGGAGAAGGUGGAGGUACAGCAGCUGUUGAACGAGCUAUUCAACUUCGCGGACGGAGGCUUCAUCCGUGGUAGUGAUCGGGUGCAAGCAUUCAAGUUGGGGCGACCAGCACCUAAGGUAUGUUACUGAUUAUUUUGCUUUAGCAUUCGUAUAUUGUCUGCAGCUGACUUAUCGUUGUUACUUUUGCAGAUCGGAGAUGUUGACCGGUGCACAGUGUACGUAUCACUGGCACCUGGAAUGGAGAAUCCUGCGGGAGAAGAUCCGCGGGAGGAAGACGCUGCUCGGUGUACUCAUUACACCAGCAGUGAGGAGGACCAGGCCCGCCCCGCCCCGACCACCGAGGAUAGAGUGGCGGGGAAAAGGCCAAUGGCGGCGGAUCCGUCGCCGGCGCUGACGCUGCCGGCAGAGAGCAGCCGAGCGCCAAAGCGCCGUCGGUUCGUUCGGAUUACCGACGACGACGACGAGGAGGAGGAGGCCGCACCGUCGUUGGUCCGAAGGCCUCAUAGCCGUCCGGACAGCGUGCCGACCACUGCUGAUCGGGUAUCCAGCGACCCUCCUGCGCCUCGCGUCACGGAGACGGGGGCACAGGUGCCGACUGGCCGGGCAAGGAGGAGGUUCACCGCGACCCACUGUCGAUCGGACCUGUAAGUGUUCAACUUUCGUAUUUUUUUUAGCUGUUGUUGAAAAUAUCGCUCUGUUAUGUAGCGCGGCGUCGGACGUCAACCCCGACCAGGCCGCAGAGCAGGGGGCGGCCGCUCCUGUUGCCGCCGUUGAGGACGCCGCGCCACAGGUCACUGAGCAACCUGCAGCGGCGGCGGGCGCUGAGGAUCAAUCUGCCCCGGCGAGUGCCGAAGAGGGCACUCAGCCGAGGGUUGAGGAGGCAGCAAGGAACCCUCCCCCGAGUACUGUUGCAGAGGGGGAGAGCAGAGUCCCGACUCCUCCAGCCGAAGAAGGGAGGGUGCCGUCACCGCCCCGAGCAGGGGCUUCUUCGCCCGUGGGCUCCCCUGGCCUAAACCAGGGACCAGUGAUGCCCUCAACCGCAGCCGGAGGCAGUGCGGCAAACGAGGAGCCCCAGGAGGCCUCUGACGACAACGUGGAGGUCCAGGGUCGUCCCCGGGAUGGCCGCCAGCACGUCUACGUGUGGCGCCAACGCGGGGACCACUUUAUUGGACACGAGGAGCUCGCGGAGACGGAGGAGGCCGCGAGGGUGGAGCGCGCGGCUAAGCGCCUCGUGGACGAGGUUAAGGUAGGUGGUCCUGUGUGCUCUUGGUAUAACUUUGUGCAAUUUUCCUGUGUUCGACAUUUGUCCUUUCUUGCAGGGUGCGAUGAAAACGGCGAAGUACCGGAAACGGUGCUUUGACCAGAUCGAAGGAAUUGUGGCCGAGAACAAGGCCCUGGCCGCGGAGGUGGAUCGGCUUCGGUCAGAAGUUGGAGAAAAAGUAUCCGAGAUGAGCGCUCAGGAAGAGCACCAUCUCGAGCUUACCCGACGCUUGGCCGAUCAGUUUCGGCAGCGAGAAGGUUAGUCUCGCACUCCGAGGCAGCUGCUUGUAGCUGCGUUGGUUAACUCCGCUGACCAGAGGACUAUUCAUGUAGGUUUGGAGGGGGAGGUCGCACGCCUUCGUCAGGAGAAAGAGCAGCUCAGCCAAGAGCUUGCCAGUGCGCUGGAGGCAGGGCGCCGAGCAGGAGAGGAGUUGGGUCGGAGGGACCAGGAGUUGUCUGGUAAUACGCGCCGCCCCGUUAUCUGCCACUGAUCGCUCUUUUCGAUAUGUUGAAAAUAACAUCUUGCUUGAUUUGCAGUGCUCAAGGUGAACGCCAAGAAGCACUUGGACGAGCUGGUCAAGGACCGGGACUCCUGGAAGGUCAAUUGUUGUAAGAUCUGGAAAGGAGUAUCCCCUGUUCUAGACUUGAUCAGCCCCGAGCUGCCGGAGAGCCAGCCCCGCGCGCCGAGAUUGACUCCAGUUGAAAAGGCGCAACAGGCGUGGGACUGGCUCCAGCAAUUCGUGAAGGACGCCGGGGAGUUUGCUGGCGCGCAUGUCCUUAGCAUGGUGCGCGCCCACUACCCCCUGGUCGACUUGACCAGGCUGGAGAAGGGGUAUCCCAAGGAGGUCGGCCCGCAGGAGGCGAACGAACUUUGGGGUGGUCUGCUGGAUUUGUCGUCGACGGUGAUCGGCGACAUCAAUCUAUGCGGAACGGCCACUCCCCCCGACCAGCCGGGUGCAGACAGGUCGGCCAGGGAGCUGUCGGGCACGUCCAUUGCGGGAGAUGGGCGGUCGACGCCUGCGGUCUUGACCAGCCAGGCGCCGGUGGCCCCGACUCCUUCGUCCGGGCAGCAAGGCCAGGCGGGUGAUCAGCCCGAGCAGUAGGCCAGUAGGAUAGUCUGUAGGAGUAGACUAGUGUCUGCCCGUCAGGGUGUUUAUUGUAAACUUUGUAUGUAAAGUUUGUAAUAAAGUUUGCUUUUGUCGUGACUACUAUUUUGAGCGCUGUGGAGUUAUCUGAGUGACGUGCCACUGUAUUUGACUUUGUAGUCGCUAAGAGCUUCCGUUGUAGAAGGCUUUCCGAGUUCUGCGUGUAACAAAGUGUAGGCAAAAAAGAGAAACUUUUAUUAUUGACAGCUAUAAGAUAUUUACAAGCGAAAGUGACUAGAGCUUAUGGGUAAAAUCGGCGCAGUUUGUCUAUGUGCCAAGAGUUAGGCACGCGUGUUCCGUCUGGGUAUGCCAAUCUGUAGGAUGUGGGUCGUGUGACUUCGGCGACCACGAAGGGUCCUUCCCAGGGAGUGGAUAGCUUGUGCAUUCCCUCUUGGCUUGUUUUCCACCUAAGUACCAGAUCGCCGACCACGAAGGAACGGUCCUUGACGUUCCUGUUGUGGUACCGCCUGACUGCCGCGAGAUACUUUGCUGUUCGGAGACAAGAAUUCAAACGCUUUUCUUCCAUGCAGUUGAUUUCAAGCUCUCUGGCGUUGUCGGCUGUUGACUGGUCGAAGUUUUCAAUCCUAGGGGAACCGAAGGUUAUGUCAGACGGCAGGACUGCCUCGGUGCCGUAAACCAUGAAAUAGGGUGACACUCCUGUUUUCCGACUAGUCUGAGUUCGGAGGCCCCAGACCACGGCCGGUAACUAUUUCAUCCAUCGACCGGGUGCUCUGUCGUUCUCGGUGUACAGCCUUUUCUUUAGGGCGUCAAUGAUCAUUCCGUUCGCGCGCUCAACUUGACCAUUGGCCCGUGGGUGAGCUACUGACACGUAUUUUAUGACAAUGCCCCUGUCAUCACAGAAGUCCCAAAAUGUGGUGCCAGUAAACUGAGUACCCAGGUCAGUAAUUAUACUGUUUGGAAUCCCGAAUCUAUGUAUGAUUUGAUUAAGGAACUCCACAGCCUUCUCGGAGGUUGCUUUGACCAGUGGCAUGUAUUCAAUCCACUUGGAGAACUUGUCGAUUAACACGAAAACGAACUUGAAGUUGCCAGGGGCCGGUUUAAAUGGCCCGAUCAUGUCGAGCCCCCAGCAGGCAAAGGGCCAGGAUGACGGGAUGGUUUGAAUCUCAUGAGCAGGUACGUGGGUCCUUUUAGCGAAGAACUGACAUCCCUCGCAGUGUCGGACCAGUUUUUCUGUGUCGUUAACCACGGUUGGCCAAUAAAAACCUGCUCGGAAGGCUUUCCCGACCAGCGUUCUGGAUGCGGCGUGAUUGCCGCAGGAUCCGGCGUGUAUGUCCUCUAGGAGCUUGAUGCCAUCAUCUUGGGAUAUGUAUUUGAGCAGUACUUUAGAACUUGCAUUUUUCCGCAUAAGUUUGCCGUCCACCAGUAAGUAAUUCUUUGAUCGUCGAAUGAGGCGCUCAUUCUCUGUUUUGUCCUGAAAGCCAGACUCGUCCGAUAUAUAUCUUAUGAAUGGGGUGCGCCAAUCACGGCCACUGGUUGUCGGAGUGGCAUCGUCUAUGAGCAUUGCCUCAGUGAGUUGCUUUUCGACCAGGCCUGUGCCCACACUUGGCUCCUGGAUGUCCUGGACGAAAAUGCCCCACGGGAUCUGGGCCCGAGAUGACCCUAACUUUGACAACGCAUCUGCUGCCUGGUUCUUAUCCCGGACCACGUGGAUGUACUCUAUGCCAUAGAAGUUGGUUUCCCAUUUGCGAAUUUCUUUGCAGUAGAGAUCCAUCUUCUCGUGGGUUGCGUCCCACUCCUUGUUGAGCUGAUUGAUAACUAAAGCAGAGUCGCCAUAGACAUAGAGGCGUUUGACUCCCAGCUCAACGGCUAGCCUUAUGCCGUGUAGGCACGCUUUGUAUUCGGCGACAUUGUUUGAUGCCGGAAAGAGGAUCCUAAGGACGUAACGCAGUUUGUCCUUGUUAGGCGAUACAAACAGUAUCCCAGCGCCGGCGCCGUUGAUGUUCAAGGAUCCGUCAAAGAACAUUGACCAGUGGUCGGAGACGUCGGGAACGGGAGGCUCGUUGAGAUCCGUCCAUUCAGCAAUGAAAUCGACCAAGGCCUGAGACUUGACUGGGGUUCGGCUCUGGAAUUCCAGGGAAAAUGGGCAUAAUUCCAUCGCCCAUUUUACGAUUCUGCCGUUGGCAUCUUUAUUGCGCAGAAUGUCCCCAAGUGGGAAACUGGUGGUGACCAAGACUCGAUGGCCAUCGAAGUAGUGCUUCAGCUUUCUUGACGUUAUUAGAAUGGCGUAUAUGAGCUUCUGUAUUUGUGGGUACCUGGCCUUGGACUCAUUUAGGACUUCGCUUAUGAAGUAAACGGGUCUCUGGACCUUGUAGACAUGACCUGGCUCGUCUCGUUCGACCACUAUUGCCGUGGAAACAACCCUGUCGGUUGCAGCAAUGUAAAGGAGUAGGUCUUCAUUGGGCUGAGGCGCUGUAAGAACAGGCGGUGAAGUGAGGAAAGUCUUAAGCUGAGUGAACGCGGCGUCGGCUUCCUUUGUCCAAGAAAACUUUCCCGACGCCUUCAAGAGUUUGAAGAAAGGGAGGCCUUUUUCUCCUAGUCUUGAGAUGAAGCGACUAAGAGCGGCCAUACAUCCGGUGAGCUUCUGAAUAUCCUUGACGUUUUUAGGUGGUCGCAUGUCGAGUACUGCUUUUACUUUUGAAGGAUUUGGCCGUAUGCCGUCGUGACUGACAACGUUGCCGAGCAGUAGACCAGAAGGAACACCGAAGAUGCACUUUUUGGGAUUAAGCUUCCACUUGUACCUAUUAAGCGCCUUAAAAGUUCGGUCUAAGUUGUCAAUUAGGGUGUUUGCAUCCCUUGUUUUGACGACGACGUCGUCUACAUAGGCUUCGACGAGGUCAUCACGAAUCUCGUCGUGGAGGCAUUGCUGUAUGGCCCGUUGAUAAGUGGCUCCGGCAUUUUUGAGUCUGAAUGACAUAGUCGUGUAGCAAUAUGCACCGAAAGGAGUAAUGAAAGACGUUUUUAUCUGAUCUUCUUCCUUUAGCGAGAUCUGGUGAUAGCCAGAGUAGUAGUCUAGAAAAGAGAGGAGUUCGCAUCCGGCCGUUGAGUCGACCACCUCGUCGAUGCGAGAGAGACCAAAAGGAUCUUUAGGAUAGUGUUUGUUGAGAUCAGUGUAAUCAACGCACAUUCUCCAUUCAUUAUUCUUUUUGCAUACAAGAACCGGAUUGGCGAGCCAAUCGGGAUGAUACACUUCUUUUAUGAAUCCGGCUGCUAGAAGCCGUGUUAUUUCUAUCCUAAUAGCCUCCUUUUUGUCACGAGCGAACCGUCGCAGCUUUUGCUUGAUGGGUCUUGUGGUCUUCGAGACAUUUAAGGAGUGCUCGAUCAGGUUUCGUGGGACGCCGGGUAUGUCUGCGGGUUUCCAUGCGAAGACGCUUACGUUGUCCCUUAGAAACCUGACGAGCGCGUCUUCCUAUUUAGGGUCCAGGUUGGCCCCGAUGAGGGCCGUCUUCUCGGGGCUGCCUUCGACCAGCUGCACUUCCUUGUGCUCCUUGGAUUUUGAGUUCUUCCUGAAGGUCUCCUGCUCGGGUAGUCGAAGCUGGUCUGGAGGUAGCUGUGCAGCCUGGGUUGCUGUCUCAGCCAUGCAGAUUGAGAGAUCGAUUGCUUCAGUGAUCUUGAAGCUCUCCUCCUCGCAAGUAUAUGUAGUGUAGACAUUGCCCCUGACAGUUAGGACUCCUUUCUCCGUGGGCAUUUUGAGGACCAGGUAUGAGUAAUGCGGGACUGCCAUGAAUUUUGUCAGCGAUGGUCGGCCCAGUAUGGCGUGGUAAGUUCCAUCAAAGUCGGCGACCACAAAGUUGACGAACUCUGUCCGAAAGUGGUCGGGCGUGCCAAAUUGGACAGGCAGUGUUAUUUGUCCGAGGGGCACUGAACUCUGGCCUGGCAAAACUCCCCAGAAUUGAGCAUCGUAGGGUUUUAGUUGUGCCAGUGAUAUCUUGAGGGCGGGCAGGCUGUUGCGGAAAAGGAUGUCAAUGGAACUUCCUCCGUCUACGAGCACGCGCUCGAACCUGAUGUUGUUGAUGCAUGGGUCCAGGAUUAGAGGGAAACGACCUAGCUCUGGGAUAGCAGCCCACUGAUCCUUUCUGCUGAAGGAGAUCUCCCUGUGCGACCACGGGGGAAAUUUCGGGUCGGCGAUCAGGCCGUCUGUGCUGUCUAUGUUGAGGCAGGCUCUCUUUAAGAGCUUUCUUUCUCGCUUGGAUUCGAUGGAGACCUUGCCCCCGAAGAUGGAGUGGACCACGUCAGUGGGGCUGACAUAUUGGUGUUGAGGGUCCCUAUCUUGGUCGUCGUCCUCGUCUUCGGGGUCGUGCCCGUUUCGUUUUCCAUUUUUCUUGGCUGAGUCGUCUUGGGCGGCCCGCCGCGUAUAGAUAUUUUUGAGGACACAGCAUUCUUCCAUGGUAUGAUUAGACUUUGGAUGCAAUUGGCACGGUCCCUUCAACGUUUUGUUGUAGUCUUCUUGGUAGUCCCGCCGCCCGUUGGGACGCUUGACCAUAUUCACUUCGUGGUCGUGGUCGCGGGGGCGCUUUCCUCUGAAAUCAUCGCGAUUGUCGCGUCGCCUGUCCCAACCUUCUCUGUGAUCACGAUUGUCGGGGCGGCGGUGGUUCCUGUUGUCGAGACGACCGCGACCGUCAUCUCGCCGGGGAGGCUGGUCGGGACCUCUCGCAUCGUCCCGGAUUAGUUUUUCUACGACGUCAGCAUCGGCGUAAUUUUUAGCCGUGGCAAGGAGUUCGGCCAUGGUUGUUGGCCUUUUGCGCAACAGCUUGUUCCUCAGUGCUUCAUGUAAGCGCAGGCCUUUAAUGAAGGCAGAGAUGGCCUCGUUGUGGGAAAUCUUCGGGAUCUUAAGGCGCAUAUCCGAGAAUCGCCGGAUGUAAUCGCGCAAAGGUUCAUUUUUUCUGUCCCUUAUCCUUUCGAGGUCGUACUUGUUUCCAGGCUGCUCGCAUGUAGCGAUGAAGUUGCCGAAGAAAUCCUGGCGUAGCUCUUCCCAAGAGUCGAAGGAGUCCUCGGGCAGGCCAAGGAGCCAUUGAUGACCAGCCUGGUCAAGGACUACUGGGAAGUAGUUGGCCAUGACGUGUUCAUCCCCUGCGGCUGAUCGGACGGUGAUUUCAUAGAGAGUGAUCCAGCUCUCUGGGUUUUCCUUGCCGUCGUACUUUUUGAGUUUCUCGAGCUUGAAAUUGCGGGGCCACAUGACCUGGCGGAUGUGUGAGGAGAACUGUCUCAGGCCCGGGGGGUCAUGCGUUGCAUCAUACUUGAUACGGCGCAGGUUUUCGUGGACUGCUCUCUCCGUGGCGCGCCUGUUGAUGCGGUCCCGGGCAUCUUUGGGAGGGAUGUUGUAUCGAAGAUCCCUAUGCUGGUUUACUUCUUGGCCACGCCUGCGAUUCUGCUUGCGUUGACCGCCAGCGUCCCGACCGCCGUCAUUACACCGUGAAUCUGUUCGAUGGUUGUCGGGGGAACGGCUGCGAUGGUGCCUGCUGGGCUGCGGUGAUGUCCGGCUACGGUGAGUCUGGUCGGAGGCGGCCUCUGUAUAGGAGACGGCCUGGACUCUUUUGAGCAGGGUGGCUGUCUGUCCCAUCGCGGCGAUCAGGUGUGCUCGGACACUAGUUCUGACCCCUUGGCAUUCGGGAGUAUCAGGGAGCCGGUCUAGAUUAGCCAUAGCGACAGCCACAUUGGCGCUCGGCGUUUUGUAAACUUGUUGAUCUCCGACCAUGUCAAAAGCGUCGCUGAGAUUCUGCGGCGGGAUUUGACGUUCCUCGUUCGCGCGUUGUUGGGCGCGAUCGGCGUUACGCUGCUCGCGGAGCUGCCUCUGCUCGUCUGUUUCUCCGUCAACAACCGGCUCGUCGGCGCUGACGUUGAAAACGAUGUCUCCUCGCCGGGGUGGGAAGACCGGGAAACGUGGGAAACCCGGAGGGUGUGACGGGAAAUCCAAGUCGUAGUCCUCAUCCUCGGAAUUUAUGACUUCAGUGGGAACGGAACCAGUGCUCGAAUUUGUGCUGGAAGCCUGGCCGUCCCGUAACUCUUGGAUCGUUACCAUGUUGACGUAAUGUCGAGCUGGUCGACCGCUCCCCUUUGGCACCCAACCAGCUUUAUUAAAGAGGGAUCGGACGUGUCUCGAGUAGAGAGAGGCCGAGUUGUUCAGACCGCGAGGGUAGUCUUCCUCCGGGUUGACCUUGAUCUUGACAGAUCGUCCUGAGGGAGUCGAGGUUAUCGCCAGAGACGUUCCCAGCCGUUCGUGUGUAGCGACACGAGUUGGCCGGUGGGAUUUGAAAAAAUCCGUUGAGGCGGCUUGAUCAGGCUGGCGUAAGAUUCCAUCUACAAGCCGGGAAGCUUCAAGUAGCUUGGAAUGGCGCGGUCAAGUGCCCGGAGAAGGUCUGAGCAGUCGAUCUUCUUUCCCUUGUAGAGCGGGGAUGGUGGUCGGGUGCUCGGAGCCGUCACCCGAGUGGUCGGAGCCGACGUGAUCCCAGAUUGGAUCUGGAUUCCUUCCGAAACCGUAGUCGUGAGACCACCGCCGCGCGUCGUCCACGUGAUCUGGCCGACAGUGAACGUGAGGCCUUCAGGAACGGCCGCGGAAGCUGGGAUUGUGACCAUCUUGUUCGCCGGAGAAGUUGCACGCACACCCCCUACCUGGCGCGCCACUGUCGACGAAAGCUAGUCGGCAGUCUACCUUGGGGUAUACCCACGGUAGUAGUUUAUCGGUAGACGGUGCACAAACUACGAACUCGUUGGUGACGCAAGACACGGACAAGCUUUUUAUCCAGGUUCGGCCGCCGAGUUGGCGUAAUACCUACGUCCUACGUCUUGUUGUAUUGGAUUGUGUUGAGAUAAUGUGUUCUAGGGGGUCCCUUGCCCCUCCUUAUAUAGUCCGGAGGGCAGGGUUACAGAUCUAGAAACUAAUCCUAGUCGGUUACAAUUGCCAUAGAUAGUUCGAUAUCAAUUCCUAUUCUAACCGACUAGAAUCCUGCUUGAUCUCCACGUCUUGUUUCCUUGCGCGAAACUCCAGGCAGUCGGAUCAAGCCUCGAGCUGUCCUCGUGAUGGGCCAAGCCUCCUGGCCCAAGUCUAGCCAUAAGGGUAUAGGGGUUUAUACCCCCACAGACCUGCUGCAGAGAUCGAUGGCAACUUUGAGCUCAAGCCUGGACUUAUCAACAUGGUGCAAUCCAACCAGUUCUGUGGGAAGGCACAUGAAGAUGCUAGUGCUCAUCUGCAACACUUCCUGGAGAUUUGCAACACAUUCACCAUAUCAAGAGUUUCCAAAGAUGCUAUACUACUUCGCCUCUUCCCAUUCUCAUUGUUAGGAAGAGCGAAGCAGUGGUUCUACGCUACAAAGGAGAAGAAUACUACGUGGGCACUGUACUCAACAAACUUCCUGGCUAAGUUUUUUCCCAUGGGCAAGACCAAUGCUCUCCGUGGGAAGAUUACAAGUUUUCAGCAACAAAAUGAUGAAUCUGUUCUAGAAGCAUGGGAGCGCUUUCAAGACUACAUCCUAGAAUGUACCCAUCAUGGAAUGGAGAGUUGGCUAUUGAUGCAGACGUUUUAUCAUGGGCUCGGCAACAGUGCCCGAGAGACCAUGGAUGCUGCAGCUGGAGGAGCAUUCUUAUCACUUACUAUAUCACAAGCCACAGCUCUUGUGGAGAAGAUGGCGUCCAAUCAAAGCUGGAAUGAAGAGAGGACCCAGACAUGCAAGAGAGGUGGAGGUAUGCAUCAGCUGAAGGAGGUAGACAUGCUGUCUGCAAAGCUAGACCUACUCAUGAAGAAGCUCGACGAUAGAGCUGGAGAUAAGAAGGAAGUUAUGCACAUCUACGACUCUCACAUGACUUGUGAGGAGUGUGGAGACACUGGACACUCAGGCAACCACUGCCCUGAGAUACUUGAGGAUGUGAACUACAUCAACAACAACUACUACUACUACAACCGUCCUCAACAAAAUCAAGGUUGGAAUCAACAGAGGCCUAACUACUCAGGUAAUUAUCAAGGUAACAAUUCUUACAACAAUACUAAUAAUUUUCCACCUUUGAGAGAGUUAGUGUCUAAUCAAGGAAAGCUAAUGGAUAACCUAUCUAAGAAAUUGGCAUCUAAUGAUAAAAUGCUAGAAAAUAUAAAUAAUAGAAUGGAUAAUUUCGCUACUGCCAUCAAGAAUCAAAUUAGCUUUAAUAAAAUGAUUAAAUCUCAGUUAAAUCAAAUAGCUGCUGUUGUUCCUGCUACUAACCCUGGUAUACCAUCACAACCGGAAGGAUUAGAAUCUGCAAAUCUUGUAGACAUGUUUGAUGUAGGUAAUUGGAGUUACCCCGUCACUGAAUUCUCUACUGACCUUCUGCCGGUCAAGAGAGGCGAUCCAGGACGCCCCGUCAUCCCAAUCUCCAUCGGCAUGGUGGACGUUCCAGAAGCACUCUGCGACUUUGGCUCUAGUGUCAACAUUAUACCCAGGGUACUCUAUGAGAAAUUCUUUACAUAUCCUUUAUUAGAGACAACCAUGUGUUUGCAGUUUGCAGAUCAGACAAUAAGUUUUCCAAAAGGAAUAGUGAAGAACCUUUAUGUCUGAGUUGGUACCUUAUAUGCCCCAGCAGACUUCAUAGUGGUAGAGACCGGUAAUGAUGAGAGGGCACCCAUCAUCUUAGGGAGGCCAUUCUUGAACACCACGGGAGCUAUCAUCUAUGUAUCUACGUCAAAGGGAGGAAGGAGACAUUUUUGUUCAAGAACAAGACUACACAAAUCCCAGAUCAAUCCAGACGUGAAUCAAGGAAGAGGACCAACAGGAGGAACAGGAACAAGCAAGUGUGGACCGAGUCAGCUAAGAUGGUCACUGUAGUUCAUGGAGGCCAAGAUCAACAACUUAAGUCACCGCUUUUGACCAAGAAGGAUGACCCAGGAAUGCCAAGGAUCUAUUGCUCCAUAAAUGGAUAUAACUUCUAUAAGACGACUUGCGACACCGGAUCGGGCGUCAACAUAAUGGCCGCAGUCACCUAUCAGCUCUUGUUCGGAACCAUGCCCCUAAAACCAACAUACAUUCAGCUCCAGAUGGCAGAUCAGACAUUUCAAGAAGUUAAAGUAAUAGUAACUGAUGUCCCAGUCAAAAUAGAUGAUCAUUUUGUCUACACAGACUUUCAAGUUAUUGACAUGGGAGAAGACGAAUACGAUCCACCCAUCAUCCUUGGAAGACCAUUCCUCAGCACCGUUAAAGCAAUUAUCUACAUUGGAACCGGAGAAGUCAAUAUACACUUCCCCUCAGAGAAGGUACGCCGUUAUUUUACUGACCCUAACUAUAGCGUUGAAGAAUCUAAGCAGGUCAGAAAGAGACGCAACCGCAACCAGAGGAGGGAAAUCAUCAAGGACGGAUGGGCAGACUAUGAAGGAGAAGUGGUAAGGUCAGAAGACGUAGAGUUUAAACAGAAUUAUCAAGAGGAGACCAUAGCACCGAGUCAGGUAUGGAAAGAGAAGAUAACUAUACAUGAAGAGGAGGCGCUGCCGGAAGUACUGACUACGCCACCCAACGAACCUCAGGACAAUUGAGAAAACGGAGAGUCCUGUUCGGAGGACUUAAAAACACCGAACGCCUUGCCAAGAGGUAAACUUGGUAGUUAUCCUUUCCCUUUCAAUUAUUUAAAAAUAGUUUACUUAGUUAAUCAUGUUCGUGCUAUCCUAAAAAGAAAAUAAAAAUGUGAAAAACAGUAAGCCCCAUGUGAGUAGACGAGUGGCAUAAAACCCAUAAGUACAUUCACUGUGGUGGCAUAAAAAUAAAGUAAAUAUUUUUCUGCUUUAUAAAACGAAAAUAUAAAAAUAGGGAGUAACAUUUAUUGAGGAGUCUCAACAUGAUAAAGGCUAGAUAUUUAUGCUAACACUUAAUCAGUUCCACAAGCUUUGUUGUCUAUUUGAGCUCCGCAGAAUUUAAGAAUCAAGAAGACUAGCAGACAGAGGACAUUCUAAUCGCUGUCACAAUGCUGCUGACUUUCAAAUACACCUCUGCCACCUGCUAGCUACAUCAAGAGAAAUUACGUCAAAAUUCAGCUUGGGGGAGAGCACCUCCAUUUAUCCCGCUAAGUAUUUCUAUCUAUCUUUAUACUUAUGUUAUAUUCGAAUUUAAAUAUAUAUAACUAUGGAAAAACCAAAUAAAGAUUUCAUGCUUAUAUAUAUAUAUAUAUCUUUUGCUUAGUGUGUUUAAUAAAUAAAUAAAGUGGCUAUGCUAAUAUGUAUCUAAAUAAAACUUAAGCAUGGAUAUGAUGAAUAGUUGCUCUGCUUAAUUUGCACAUUUUAAGUUCUCUCUCAAGUUUAGACAUAACUGUUAUAAUUUAAAUCUUGCUCUAGACCUAAACUUGUGGGAUGAAAAUUUGAUCUGAAGUCUAAGUUGUUAACGGAUACGAUAUGGAAAGGUUGAGCUGCUGUUUAUCUGUUCCUAGAGAUGCUAGAAUUCUGGGAAUUUUAUCUUUAAAAAUCUUUAAAAUAUUGCAUGAUGAGUUCCUGUAUGAUGAGAGUUUAAAUUCUUACCACAGCCAUAUAUACAUGCUUGCUAGACUUUGAGCCACACAUUUACUAUUUACUGCUUAUGAGCAUUGAGUGUGGUCAAGCUGUGUAGACCCUUAGGAGCUUGUCAUGUGGUUAAAUCAAGAUUCACUUGCACGUUCACUCAUAUAUGCUACUUCUACUCCGGAAGUACCAUCCACAUAUAUCCAUCCAUUUCCAUCUCCAGAAUCACCCAAAAUAUUCUACUCCUAAAUCCGGGAGAGAAUAUCCAAAAAUAUUUAUGUUUUUCCCUUGUGAAUUAAAUGCUCCAGUUAUCUUGUUACUACCACUUGCUAUAUUAUCUCAAGAGAUGAGUGCUCUAAAAAAAGAAAAAAAGAUACGAGGAAAUAAAAAGGGGCAAGUGCCCGGAACCUCGAAAGAAAAGAAAAAGUGAGACGAGAGGUAAAAAUGGACAAGUGUCCGACAGUAGAAUUAGGGGUACAAGAUACCCACCUGAGAGAAAAGAAAAAAGAGAAGAGCAUCUCAUUCUCCUCAUAAAGUUUCAAAAAGCAAGGAAGGUAUGUAUCCCCUCAAAGAGCAAAAGUAGAAUUAGACUUUCACCAUUGUUAUCACCAUCAUCACCAUACAUCAUUCAUUCGCCACACAUGCACAUCUUGAUUUGACUUUUUGAUUUGUUUCUUUGGAUCCAUGGUUUGACUAUGCAAUAAAUGUCUUGUAAGUAUGUAUAUUUUAUCUCCCACCUAUGAGCUCCAGAUAUAAAAGCCUUAUAAGAGUAGGGUGAGAGAGAAGGCAAUGUCACUAUGCCUUAUACCACAAAUACUACAUACUUUGAGAGAAGACAUAUACCAUCACUGCCUUGGUAAGGAUCCAGAAAUACCACAAAAGAGAGAUUUGAGAGAAUCAUACAAGGAAUCUCUGAGUUUUAUUUGAAAAUCUGCAAAAACAUCAGAGCUAUAGCUGAUCAAGAAUAAGAGACAUGGCACUUGACUAUUCUAUCUUUUAACUACUCAAGAUAGAAGUGACGGUUACAAGUCCCAUGGUGAAGGUAAAGUAAGUAAGUUUUAAGUCUUGACAGUUUACCCUAACUCAGAGAUAAGAUCUUAUUUAAAAACCAUGUGUACCGUCAAUUUUUAAAGAUAUUGCAACAACUUAUGAUCCAUAGCUGAGUCUAUCCUUGCUCAGGGACGAGCAAGAGGUAAGCUUGGGGGAGUUUGUUGACGGUCCUUAAGUAUCAAAUUUAAUUAUCAAAUAAAUAAAGAAAAGGAUCCAAAAGAAAUCAACAUCUAGACUUAGGGUUUUAUCUGACAGAAUUCCACGAGUUUUGGUGUUUGUCUAUUUCUACAGGGGGUUAUCAGGAAAUACGGAAGAAAGGCCCACAUGUCGGGAUUACAUAGAGAUAUUAACGUGCCGCGCAAUUAUCUUACAUCUAGAAGACUCCAGAAGCCACGAGACCGAAGCGGAGGCGAAACGAGGCCAGAGGUAGGGCGCCCGCCCUGUUCCCCUGGGCGCCCGCCCACCUCUGGAGUCCAAUCAGGACUCUGCUUUGUGGGAGAUCUCCACCGACCUAAAGGAUGAAUCUAAACCAUACAAUCUAUGUCGGUUUGAUCCAACGUCCCAUAUUCACUUGAAGGGACUAUAAAACCAGACCCCCUGGCCCCUGGAGGAGAGAGCCUCUCAACCCUAAUUCAUUGUUCCUCAAGGGAGAAGAAGCCUCUGAUCAAGAUUAGAGCCACCACAUCAAUUAGACAUCUAGAUUAGCAUAGCUACAUAGGAUUAGAACUAGAAGGAGUCAAUCUUCGAUUGGUUUCCGGAUCUGUCAAGAGGAUUCUUGGUAAUUCUCUAAUUGUGCUUCUAAUUGUUCUUCUAAUUAUCUUUGUUCUUCAAUAUUAUGAAUAUGACUUUGUUCUACUUCAAUAUAUUGCUUAUGACUUUGCUCUACUUGCUUAUAUUCAAGAUUAUAUUGUUCUUAGUUUAUCAUAGUUAUGUACUUGGCUUAGUUAGAUUGGAUCUAUAUACAUGCUUAGGAUCGUAUAGCAUUUAUCCAUCGGAUCCAUGGGUAAAUGAUAGAUAUUGUGUAGGCGUGGUGCUUAUACCGUAUUUAUCUGCGAUUGUACCCAAUAUGCCAGAUCGUGGGGUAGUUCGUGAUAGUGACAGCUUCAUUGAUUCUUAUAUAGUCCCCCUCUCGUGUAUUGGGCUGGCAGAGCAAUAUUAUUACAGGGGAGUGAUUGCUAUGUUUCUCAUUUACCUUGCUAAUAUCACUAUGCAUGGGUGUAGUCUUGUCUCGCAAUGAUUGCUAAGUAUGCUUGCACUAAUUAUGAUAAUGCCAGACUAUAUAGUUGAGAAUAACUUAGGGAAUAUUCUUGUAGUUCGUUCUAAUACCAUGCUAAUGACUUUCUAGAGUAUCUAAUUGAGGUGCUUAUCAUAUUUAUUAUGUGGCUAGAUCAGAUUAAUUAUCCUUGUCACUAUUCAUUAUUUCAUAUAUCUUUUAUGUGACACUUAUCCCUGUAUGAAGAGUUAGAUAAAUGUUCUCAAUUAUACAUGCAAUGAUAGAUACUCAAUCUCAUAUUCUAUUCUGUAAUCAAUAUUGAUGAUUGUUAAUCCCUUCCCAGUGGUAAAAAUAUAAAUAACGAUACCUGGAAUACUUCCCGGUUAAAAUGCUGCAUCGGUAUUAAUUUGUGUGCUUGCAGAUCCCAUUCAUUAUUUAUUUAGAAGAGCAAUUGCAUAUUUCAAUACCGCGUCUCUCAUAUCAUGCUGGGGAUGACAACUUGGAUUAAGUGGUGUGAGAGAUAGGUUUGGCAUUUUUGGCACCGUUACUAGAUUUAGAGAACUUAGUCUACUUUUGGUAAUGAUGUUAAGAAUACCCAACAGCCACUUCUUUUACUCCAUGUUCAUAUGCAACAUCUUCCCAAUCCAUUGGUUUUUCCAACAUCACCACAUUCGAGAUCUCCAACCCCCUCAUCCUUUCUAUUUAUAAAAACUUUAAAAGGGUGGUUGUCGAUGCAUAUGUCUAUAUUAAAUAUUGCAGAUCUCGUUGAGUUGAUCUUGAUAUAGGUCAGCGUUGGAGGGGAAACCACUUCGUUGACAUAAAAUUGAUGGUUUCCCAGGGACAAGCUUAGUGUCCUAAAACAAGCACUGAUCAGAUUGUAACAUGAGCUUUUAAUUAUUUGCAACAUUACCUUGUGUGUUGAGCAUAUAAGAAUAAUUGUAAAAAUAUUCCUUCGGGUAUUCUUGUCACUAACCUUUUCAGGAUUGGAGCAAGAAGAUCGGAUGAAUGACAAGCACAAGGUAUGUCCAACCAAUCAUCAUACAACAUUGAAUUAAAUUCAUCCAAACUUGAAUUUUGCAAAAUUCAAGCUUGGGGGAGUGCUUUACAUAAAAACAUAUUUUGCCAUGUUGCUAUGUUGGUUGUCCCUACCUUUGAGACAUGCUCAAUUUGUUAAAUACUAAUCACACUACUUCAUCUCCACUUGAGUAGAUCUCUAUAAAUGCUCUCAUGCUACCUUUAUUUGCUUUAGUAUAUGUCUAGGUUUGGAGUAGUUUCAUUUAUCGCUUAAUUAAACUUGGUGCUUAGUUUAGGAAUGAUUAUCUUACUUCCAAGGGGUUUUAAAUUAAGCAUCGUGCUUAGGUUAAAAAAGCCCUCCUGAAUCAAAUUAGACAUGGUGUCUAGGUUGAUUUUUGAGCCGAUAGUAUGCUAUAGUAGAUAUGGGAUAUUUUGUUGGACUAACCCCUGCAGGAAAACUUUCAAUAUCGACCUGGGAAGUCCUGAGAUAAACUCACAUUGGAGACAAAGAGAGAGACACAUGUAGUUUAACAAUAUACACAAGGAAGGCAUAGCUCACAAGAGAUGAUCCAUGGAGGGUGCCACACACACGAUGCACAACCGCUAAGAGAGGAAAGCUUCCAUAAGGUAAUACUGUACCAUCACUCUUCAAGAAAGGUAACAUCUUAAGGUACUUGAUUAUCACUUCUAUAAGCUUCUCCUUAUUUCUGGCAUUCACAUGAGUAAAAGAGACAAACAUGUAAGAUUUACAACUCUAGAUUAACCAAUCCAAUUAAUUCAGCAUGUUUAGUCCUUUAAUCUUUAUUUAUAGUACUACCUUCGUGAUCCCACACUCCUAAUCAUAUGAACUAAAAUGUUGCACAUGCAAUCUUUGAAAGAUAUAUAUAAAAAAAACAUAAGUAUAGAUAGAUUAUCUUUCCAUUAGGUUGAGUGAUCUGAUCUGACAAAUGUUUUAAAUGCUACACUCAUGAUCUUAUUAUCCAUCAACUUUGUCUUGCUCACUAUGCUGAAGGUUAGAGAGAACAAAUACACUUUUGGUUCUGUUGGUGUUUCCACCAACUGGGCCCAUGCACUUGAUCUCUGCCUUGUCUCUAUGAGCAGGUACACUUCGAGCAAAAUAUGGAGGAGUUUUACAACUCCCAGACUCCACCUAUUGAAGAACCUAGAUCUACGAGCACAAACACACUGGAGAUACUAGACACUCAGGCAAUCACUGCCCUGAGAUGCUUCAGGAUGUAACUACUAGAGCAACCCCAUUGUGGAAGUAAUUACUGACCUUCUAUUGGUCAGGAGAGACAAUCCAGGACGCACCGUCAUCCCGAUCUCCAUCGGCAUGGUGAACUUGCCAGAAGCACUCUGCGACUUUGGCUCCAGCGUCAACAUUAUGCCCAGGGUACUCUAUGAAAAAUUCUUUACACAUCCAUUAUUAGAAACAACCAUGUGUUUGCAGCUUGCAUAUCGUACGCUAUGUUUCCCAACGAGAAUAUUGAAGAACCUCUGCGUCCGAGUUGGUACCUUGUACCCCCAGCAGACUUCGUGGUGAUAGAAACCGGUUCUGAUGAGGGGGCACCCGUCAUCCUAGGGAGGCCAUUCGUGAACACCUCGGGAGCUGUCAUCUACGCUAGUGCUACCAAGAUCAGAUUCUACAUCAAGAGGAGGAAGGAGACGUUUUCCUUCAAGAACAAGACUACACAAAUCUCAGAGCAAUCCCGACAUGAACCAAGGAAGAGGACCAACAGGAGGAACGGGAACAAGCAAAUGUGGACCAAGUCAGCUAAGAUGGACACUGCAGUUCAAGGAGGUCAAGAUCGUCGACUCAAGUCACCAUUCCUGACAAAAAAAAAGGGACGAACCAAGUAUGCCAAGCAUCCAGUGCUCCAUUAAUGGAUACAACUUGUAGAAGACGCUUUACGACACCGGAUCAGGCGUCAACAUAAUGGCCGCAGUCACCUAUCAACUCCUGUUCGGAACCAUGCCCCUAAAACCUACAUACAUUCAGCUCCAGAUGGCAGAUCAGACAUUUUGAAAGGUUAUUGACAUGGGAGAAGACGAGUACGAUCCACCCAUCAUUCUUGGAAGACCGUUCCUCAGCACCGUUAAAGCAAUCAUCUACAUGGGAACCGGAGAAGUCCACAUGCACUCCCCCUCUGAGAAGGUACGCCACUAUUUUACUGACCCUGACUAUAUAGUUGAAGACUCUAAGCAGGCUAGUACAAGAAGAAGACGACGCAACCGCAACCAGAGGAGGAAAAUCAUCAAGGACGGAUGGGCGGACUAUGAAGGAGAAGUGCACCGAGUUAGGUGUGGAGAAAGAAGAUAGUUAUACACGAAGAGGAGGGGCCGCCGGAACCACCGACUACGCCAUCCAGCGAAUCCCAGGACGACUGAGAAAAUGGAGAGUCCCGUUCGGAGGACUUAAAAACACUGAACGCAUGGCCAAGAGGUAAACUUGGUAGUUAUCCUUUCCCUUUCAAUUAUUUAAAAUAGUUUGCUUAGUUAAUCAGGUUCAUAUCAUCUCGAAAAGAAAAUAAAAAUGUUAAAAAUAGUAAGCCCCAUGUGAGUAUGCUCAUGGCAUAAAACCCAUAAGUGGUGGCGUAAAAACAAAAUAAAUAUAUUCCUGUCCUAUAAAAAUGAAAAUAUAAAAAUAAAUUUAUGACCCUACUAAAGAGAGUAAUAUUUAUUAGAGGAAGCUCAACAUGAUAAAGGCUAGAUAUUUAUGCUAACACUUAACUAGUUCCACAAAGCUUUGUUGUCUAUUUGAGCUCCACAGAAUUCAAGGAUCAAAGAAGACUAGCAGACGGAGGACAUCCUAAUCGCUGUCAGGGUGCUGCUAACAUUGAAAUACACCUCCGUCACCUGCUAGCUACAUCAGAAGAAAUUACGUCAAAAUCCAGCUUGGGGGAAAGCACCCCAUUUAUCCAGCUAAGUGUUUCUACUCGCGUUUAUACUUUACUCAAAUAAUAAAAAGAUGCAUAAUCAUAUAAAAACCCAAUUAAAGAUUUUGUGCUUAUAUAUAUAUAUCUUUGCUUAGUUUGCUAUAUAAAUAAAUAAAUAAGUAAAGUUUAUUAUGAACCCUCAUGAUAAGCUCUCACAUGGAAAUGAUGAAUAGUUGCUCUGCCAUGACUAGUUCUCAAAAUUGAAAUCUCUCUCAAGUUUAGGCAUGACUGGUAUUAAUUAAGAUUUGCUCUAAACCUGAACUUGUGGGGAGAGUACUUGAUCUAAAGUCUAAGUGGUUAACGGAUACGAUAUGGGAAGGUUGAGCUGUUGUUUAUCUGUUCUUAGAGAUGCUAGAAUUCUAGAGAAUUUUAUCUUUGAAAAUCUUUAAAAUAUCACAUGAUGAGUUCCUGUAUGAUGAGAGUUUAAAUUCCUACCACAGCCAUAUAUACAUGCUUGCUAGACUUUGAGCCACACAUUUACUUUUUACUGCUUAUGAGCAUUGAGUGUGGUCAAGCUGUGUAGACCAUUAGGAGCUUGUCAUGUGGUUAAAUCAAGAUUCACUUGCACGUUCACUCACACAUGCUGCUUCUACUCCAGAAGUACGCAUCCACAUAUAUCCACCCAUUUCCAUCUCCAGAAUCACCUAAAAAAUAUUCUACUCCUAAUUCGGGAGAGAAUAGCCAAAAACAUUUCUGUUUUCCCCUGUGAAAUAAAUGCUCAAGUUAUCUUGGUUACUACCACUUGCUACAUUAUUUCAAGAGAUGAGUGCUCUAAAAAAGAGAGAAAAAAAAGAAAGAAUACGAGGAAAUAAAAAGUGGCAAGUGCCUGGAACCUCGAAAGAAAAGAAAAAGUGAGAGGAGAGGUAAAAAUGGACAAGUGUCCGAUAGUAGAAUUAGGGGUACAAGAUACCCACCUGAGACAAAAGAAAAAUAAAAUAUAGAGCAUCUCAUUCUCCUCAACAAGUUUCAAAAGAGCAAGAAAGGUAUGUAUCCCCUCAAAAGAGCACAAGUAGAAUUAGACUUUCACCAUUGUUAUCACCAUCAUCACCAUACACCAUUCAUUCGCCACACAUGCACAUCUUGAUUUGACUUAUUGACUUGUUCUUCUCGAUCCAUGGUUUGACUAUGUAAUAAAUGUCUUGUAAGUAUGUAUUAGCUGUCUCCCACUUAUGAGCUCCAGAUAUCAAAACUUUAUUAAAGUAGGGUGAGAGAGAAGGCAAUGCCACAAUGCCUCAUACAAAAAAAUACCACAUACUUUGAGUGAAGGCAUACACCAUUAUUGCCUUGGUAAGGAUCCAGAAAUACCACAAAAGAGAGACUAGAGAGAGUCAUACAAGGAAUCUCUGAGUUUUAUUUGAAAAUCUGCAAAAACUCCAGAGCUAUAGUUAAUCGAAGAACAAGAGACAUGGCGCUUAACUAGACCGUUCUAUCUUUUAACUACUCAAGACAGAAGUGAUGGUUACAAGUCCCAUGGUGGAAGGUAAAAUGAGUAAAUUCAAAUCUUAAAAGUUUACCCUAAUCCAGAGAUGAGAUCUUGUUUGGACGAAUGUGUACCUUUAAGGCAUGAAACUACUGCAGAAACUCUUGAGUUCAUCUUUGCUGAGGGACGAGCAAAGGUUAAGCUUGGGGGAGCUUGUUGACGGUCCUUAAUGCUCACAUUUAACCAUCAACUAAUCAUAGGAAAGGAUCCAACUGCAACUAACACCUAGACUUAGUGUUUUAUCUGACAGAAUUCCACGAGUUUUGGUGUUUAUCUAUUUCUGCAGGGGGUUAUCAGGAAAUACGGAAGAAACGCCCAUACGUUAGGUUUACAUUGAGAUAUUAACGUGCCGCGCAAUUUUCUAUCAUCUAGAAGACUCCAGAAGCCACGGGAACAAAGCAGAGGCUGAGAGGGCUCAGGGACAGGGCGCCCGCCCAAGUCCUUAGGGCGCCCGCCCAGCUACAGUGUCCAAUUCAGACCCGUUUCACGUAUUAUGCUCCACCAACCUAAAGGAUCAAGGAAAACCAUACGAUCAAUGUCGGUUUGAUCUGACGGCCCAGAUUCAUCUGAAAAGACUAUAUAAGCAAGGCCCGCUGGCCCCUGGAGAUCAUAUCUCUUCUAUAGAAUCAAAGCUAGGGUUUCAAUUCUAAAUCCA